UUGUAAUUUCAUCUUGUACUUUCAUAUGUCUUGAAUUUAAGAUUAAAAAAAAACUCUAAUAGCGAACCAAACACCUCCACAACUUCUUAUUAUUUGUGGUGAGGUUUGAAACAUUCAACUCAAUUUGUACUUAUUACAGAAUUUGAUUCUUUGAGAGAUUUAGAGGAGCUAGACAUUGGCGGGAACAAGAUUGACAAAUUUGUGGUCUCAAAAGGUACUACAAAUACCAUAAAAAAAAUAUGCUAACUUUUACAAAUUAGUUAGAUUCUUUGCCAUUUGGUUUAUUAUUUUACAGGUUUGAGUAAGUUGAAGUCUCUCGGUUUAAGUGGUAUCAAACUCAAUCGUAGCAUCUUAUCUUCUCUUUCUUCGUUAAGAGAAUUAGAUAUAAGUCGUACGGGAUUCAAAGGAACAUUUGAUGUUCGAGGUAAGCCUAAACCUUGCUUUCUCAUUUUAUAUAUGCCAACUAGAUUUGUGUAUCAUCGACAUAAUUUAAUAUUUAAUUUGAUAAGUCUGAAUGAAUUACAUGCUAAUUUAAACAUACUUUUAUUUACUCUAUCAAUCAAUUAAUUAAUUAAUUACUAUUUGGCUUGGUUUGGACGAAAUUCUCAUGAUGUUUUAAUUUCUUUAAAUUAAUUAAUUAAUUAACUCUGUUUUUAAGUCUUAAGUCUGGGCGUGUUUGCAGAAUUUGAUUCAUUCAACGACUUAGAAGUGUUGGACAUGAGCUACAAUGAAAUCGACAAUCUUGUGGUUCCUCAAGGUAAACAAUUAAAAUGUUAUUCAAUUACAUUAUUUUAAUUCAUUUGAUUAGGGAAGGCCAAAAAGGUCCAAAAAAAUAAUAAUAAUAAAGAAACAUAUAAUUUGUAUUAUUUAAAAAACAGAAUGUAAUAAAGAUUUGAUUCCAGUUCUUCAAUCUUUAAAGCGAUUGAAAAACAAUGUUGCUCUUUUCCCAAAGCAUAAAAUACGAAUUGAAUGCCAAUUAACUUAAUCAUUCAUUUCGUUUAGCUCUAAAUUUAGACAAUGAAUUUUUAUAUUAUUUCAAAAACAGGACGUAAUAGAAUUUAAAAAAAAAACAGAUUGUAAUGAAGAUUUGAUUCCAAUUUUUUAAUCUUUGCAGCGAUUGAAAAACCAUACCGCUCUUUUCCCAAAGCAUAAAAUACGAAUUGACUCCCAAUUAAAUUAAUCAUUUAUUUUGUUCAUCUCUGAAUUUAAAUAAUGAAUUUUGAUCUUCAAUCAUAUUCUAACUACUAUUAAAAAAAUAGGUUACAAAGGUUUGAGGAGGCUGAAAAGUCUUGAUCUAUCGGAAUUUGAAAUUAGAGAUGGAAGCAAGUUGUUACAGUCAAUGGGAUCAUUCCCAUCCCUCAACACACUUGUCCUGACGGAUAAUAAUUUUACCGAUAUAGCGACCGCUACUCAAGGUAAGUAAAAGGUACAGAUGUGGCCAAAUUUAUAAAUAAAUUGUUAAUUAAUUAAUUUUUCCGUAUUAUUAAUUAAGCUAAAUUUGUUGCUCCUUCCUUCUAAUUCUAAACAGAGUUGCACAAUUUCACCAACUUGGAAUAUUUGACAUUGGACGAAUCCUCUCUCCAUAUAAGCCUUCUGCAAAGCAUUGCAUCAUUAUUCCCUUCGUUAAAAACUCUGUCGAUGUUUGGUUGUGAAGUCAACGGUCUCGUACGCGGUCAAGGUAAAAGAAAAGCGUUGAUUGUGAACUCACUCAAUGGUGUCCUACGUGUUCAACAUUUUUGUUUAUUUAUUUAUUGUUUAAUGUUUCUGCUAGGUUUUCCCCAUUUCAAGAGUUUGGAACAUUUGGAUAUGGAUUACACGCGCAUUGCACUCAACACCAGCUUUCUUCAAAUCAUCGGUGAAUCGAUGCCUUCUCUUAAGUACUUAUCACUGUCAUAUUCUAAUCUUAGCACUAACAGCAGCAGGAUUCUUGAUCAAGGUUAAUGAGAUGCUGCCACCCUCCCCUCUUAAUCUGUAAUAUUAAUUUUCAAUUCAAUAUUUAAUUACACAAACCAAUCACUUCUAUAUAAAAGAAUACUAUGCUUUUGUUAAAUUUUUUUAUUGUACUGAUGGAUAAAUUAAUAAAUUUUCAGGCCUCUGUUCGUUGGUGCAUCUGCAAGUGUUGUACAUUUAUAAUAAUGAUCUGAGAGGCAGCUUGCCUUGGUGCUUGGCAAAUAUGACAUCCCUCCGAUUAUUAGAUGUUUCUUCCAAUCAACUUACUGGAAGCAUCUCCUCAUCUCCCCUCAUUCAUUUGACAUCCAUUGAAGAGCUGAUGCUUUCAAACAAUCACUUCCAGAUCCCAAUUUCACUUGAACCACUUUUCAAUCACUCAAGACUCAAGAUUUUCAAUGCUUAUAACAAUGAAAUAAAAGCUAAAAUAACUGAGUCACAUUCUUUGACCGCCCCAAACUUCCAAUUAUCACGUCUCUCAUUGUCUUCCAGUUACGGAGACGGUUUCAUAUUCCCCAAAUUCCUUUACCAUCAACAUGACCUGGAGUAUGUUGAUCUCUCACACAUAAAGAUGAAUGGAGAAUUUCCAACUUGGUUGUUGGAAAACAACACAAAAUUAGAAACUCUUUCUCUCGUCAAUGAUUCUCUUGGAGGACCUUUUCGGUUGCCAAUUCAUUCACACAAGCGGUUAGGAAUGUUGGAUAUAUCCAACAACAACUUCCGAGGCCACAUUCCAGUAGAAAUUGCAGAUGUUUUACCAAGUUUAUACGCUUUCAACAAUUCCAUGAAUGCUUUAGACGGUAGCAUUCCCUCUUCAUUUGGUAAUAUGAAAUUCCUCCAAUUUCUGGACUUAUCCAACAAUCACUUGACUGGUGAAAUUCCCGAGCACUUGGCCGUGGGUUGCGUCAACUUGAGGUUUCUUGCGUUAUCAAAUAACAACCUACAAGGUCACAUGUUCUCUAGAAAUUUUAACUUGACAAACUUGAAAUGGUUACAAUUGGAGGGCAAUCGCUUCGUAGGUGAGAUCCCACAAAGUUUGUCUAAAUGCUCCUCACUAGAAGGAUUGUAUCUUAACAAUAAUAGUCUUUCGGGUAAGAUUCCACGAUGGUUGGGUAAUCUCACAAGGUUACAAUGUAUUAUAAUGCCCAAUAAUCAUCUUGAAGGCCCUAUUCCAGUGGAGUUUUGUCAGCUUGAUUUGCUUCAGAUUUUGGACAUUUCAGACAACAACAUAUCUGGAAGUUUACCAUCUUGUUUCCAUCCUCUCUCUAUCAAACAAGUUCAUCUUUCAAAAAAUACGUUACAUGGACAACUAAAAAGAGGUACAUUCUUUAAUUGCUCUUCCCUUGUGACAUUAGAUCUUAGCUAUAACCGCUUGAAUGGCAGCAUUCCGGAUUAGGUUGAUGGGCUUUCUCAGUUAAGCCACCUUAUCUUAGGUCACAAUAAUCUUGAAGGUGAAGUGCCAAUUCAAUUGUGCGAAUUGAACCAACUACAAUUGUUAGAUCUUUCUAAUAAUAAUCUUCACGGUCCUAUUCCUUCUUGCUUUGAUAACACCACACUUCAUGAAAGUUACAGCAAUAGUUCUAGUCCUGAUGAGCAAUUUUAAAUAUCUUUUUUCAUCCAAGAAACUCAAGGAUAUGUAGAAAAGCAAAUCCAUGAAAUUUUUGAGUUCAUAUAUGUAGAAAAGCAAAUCCGUGAAAAAUUUGAGUUCACAACAAAGAACAUUGCGUACAUUUACCAAGGAAAAGUGCUUAGCCUCCUAUCAGGACUUGAUCUUUCUUGCAACAAGCUAAUCGGUCCUAUUCCUCUUCAAAUUGGAAAUUUGACAAGGAUUCAAACAUUGAAUCUAUCACACAACAACUUGACAGGAUCGAUCCCAUCAACAUUUUCAAACUUGAAGUAUGUCGAAAGUUUGGAUCUUUCCAACAACAAAUUGAAUGGGAAAAUCCCUCAUCAACUAGUGGAGUUAAAGACAUUGGAGGUUUUCAGUGUGGCAUACAAUAACUUAUCAGGCGAAAUUCCAGAAUGGACUGCACAAUUUGCAACCUUCAAUGAGAGUAGCUAUGAGGGAAAUACUUUUCUUUGUGGAUUGCCAUUGCCCAUUUGCAGAUCACCAGCAACUAUGUCGGAGGCUUCAAUUGGCAAUGAACGAGAUGAUAAUUUAAUUGACAUGAACAGUUUCUUUAUCACAUUUACAACAUCGUACGUAAUUGUGAUAUUCGCAACUGUUAUUAUUUUAUAUGUAAAUUCUUAUUGGCGACGUAGAUGGUUUUACUUUGUUGAAAUGUGGAUAACUUCAUCUUACUAUUUUGUUGUAGACAAUCUUAUUCCAACAAGAUUUUGUCAUUGAAAUUAAUUAGUAGCUUAAUUACGAUUCUUUAAGUACUAAUCAAGUUUGCUUAGGAAAUAUUUUUUUAUUAAAAUUGUAGUAGUAUUUAGCAUUAUAUAGCUUCCAACUUCCAAGCACUUCACAUUUGUCUCUACACUUAAAAAACUGAGUAAUCAUGUUUUGCAGAUCUGUCCACCAUAACUUAUAGCUUCCCUAUACUGUGCAGCAUACUUAAAUAAGAGAACCAUCUCCAAUGUUAAAAGCAUUCACUCUAUAACAUUCAUUUAGAAACUAUAUUCAGAAUAAUUUUAUAAUUAAACACGAGAAAUGAAACACAUAGAUACACUUGAUCGCCUAUUUUACUCUAAAAAAGAACGAUUAUUGUGCUAUCAUCAUCUUCUUCACUAGCAACAUUAACACCAAAUCGAUGGACCCAUACAUUUCAUCAAGAAAGGUAUAUAUCCAAUAAAGUUGAAGCCUAACAAAAAAUUCAAGAAGAUUAAUGCCUCGCCACAACAAGGGGCACAACAACAUCAAAGUAGAGAUUAAGCAGUAUUCUCAAAGCUAAAACUCUCAAAUCCACCCACCAGAAUUUCAUAUCUCCUCAACAAUUUUAAGAACUAAAGAUAAUUAGGAUUUAACAUUAGUUUUUUAUAUAUUAGUUUCAUAAUUUACAAAUCAAUGAAGAUGAAGAUUAUGCUAAUAAAUUCAAAUUAUACCAUACAUUCUCUAGAUGUUACCAAAAAUUUCUAAGUCAAUCCCACAUAUUUCAUAAUUUUAAGACUAGAAAAUUUCACUAGUUAGAAGUUUCAUUACCUUCAAGUGGAAGAUAAAGAACAUUAUACAAGUGAUUCAGAUUAUAUCAUACAUACUCCAAAUGCAACUAGAAAUUAACAAGUUCAUGCGCACAUAUUUCAUAACAUUAUGAUUGAAAAGUUUCACAAAGAGAAAUUCUAAAUUCAAUCUCUUGCAUGAAGGCAGUUUGAUUGAUUUGAGUUACUUUCUUAUCAAGCUACUAAUAUAACAUUCAAGUCAGGGAGAAAAUAAAUUAAAACUGGGAAGAAAUAAUAGUAAAAAUUUGUUGCUCAACAUGAUGUGUAUUUUUUUUCAAGGCAAUUUGGAAACACAAUUGUUACUACAGAUAUUCUUCUCAACUUGGAGAUAAAUACAAAUAUUAAAAUGCAUAUGAUCGCACAUAUUACUUCGAGUUUAGUAAGAUUUCAUUAAAAGAAGCAAUCAAACCACUUAUCAAUUGUCGCAGUCGUUCUAUAAACUAAAAUAGCAAUAUAAUACAAGAAAAAGAACAUAUAGAUACUUGGCAAGAGUUCAUUAAGAAGUCGCAUCACAUUCGGGUGAGGAGUUUGCUUCUGAUAUCUUGCUAGCUGGGGCUUUUUCUUGUCUUUCUACGUAUGCCGAGGGAAACCAACCAGCUUGGCCCUUGCAUUCACCUUCCGACCAUCCAAUAGGAGCCACCUUGAGAAGUUAUAACUAAAACGGUGAAUUAAACAAAAGUUGACCGUUCAAAGACCUAAGGGGAAAACUAAUUCUUUUACGUAGGAGGAGUGAAUUAGUUGUGAUCACUGAAAUAACAGCAUAACUAUGGAAGCAUAACAAGAUAUAAAUUCACACGUCUAUAAGGAUAAACUGGGUGGUUCAGAACUGAGCUAGCAACCCUACUAUAUUCUGAUUUGCACUUCAAUGUAAAAGGGAAUAUAUGGUAGGAAGAAAGAAAACCAACCAUCAUUUGUUAACUCAUUGCUUUUCAAUCAAAAUUUUAAGAACAAAAUGCCAUGUGCUUUGAACAUCAAAUAAGUAUAAGCAUUAGUUCUAAAUUCCACAUAUCAUAAGUUGUUAGAAGGAUAAGUUAAUAGCAGAGUAGAAAAAUCUAUGUGUUGGUAUUUAGAGGGGAAAGUACCUGGCGAAUCACAACAUAAUCAUCAAUUGAAAGACUUAGCUCUCCAUUUGCUUGAGCAUCAAAUGGAUGUAUAACCUGCAAGAUAAUGGGAUAAAUAGAACUUAAAAAAAGCAUAACAAAAGCAGCAACAGUAGCAGCAACGUUCAUUGUAACCACUAUGAUCAUGGCCAACAAAGAUAUAUUAGAAACAAAAUUCCAUUUUUACUACGACAUUAAUAUGUACUAUACAAAUUCUAAUAAGUUCUGUAUAACUUUAUGUAGUUAUUUAAAUUAUGGAUCAGAUUUUAAAUUUGAAAUUUUGACUGCUCUCCACAAAACAUGGCCUAUGCACAAGAAAGUCAUAGAUAAUGAGGAUUACAAGUGUCCGGCAUCUUUUGAGUGAUGGAUUUAACAUGAGAGCUUAUGGUCAGUCAAUUUCCUCUGCCUAGCAAUAUAAGCUUUCUCGGCCAGAUUUAUCAUCAAAUACAUAGAUUGCCCCCAAGUCACAUCCAUAUAAACAUAGUUUUUCUAGGUAAACCAAGUAAGGAGUAUCAUAAUUCAGACAUAAUCAUAAAAAGGCCCAUCUAAAUUAAGAGAAAAUCUCAAAAAGAGGGAUGCUGAGCUAUCAGUCUUGUAUCUAUAAGCAAUAUCAAGACUUUACAUCACCUGCUACAUCGUGAGUGGCUACACAACUUUCAGUGGUUUGUCUUUCUUUGGCACGCCUAACUCAGCUUUGAUGUUAGUGAGAUAUUGAUAGUAGAGACACAUGAUACUUCUAGCUCAUGCAUUCUAUCUAACCCAUCCAACAACUAUCUCUUUUUUAAUUCAUUAGUGUUUGCUAAACCUCAUGCUUAAAAGUCCUAUUCUCCUUAGCACCACAGUUGGACACUUGUAGAGCAAUUUUAUUUGGGGGAAAAGAAUUUUCAAGGUGUUAACUAAUAAAUUUUAAAAAAUAAUUACAAUUUGUCCUACGAUCAUAUGACAAUUUAUCUGGGAUGAAAGGAUACAGAUAGACAUCUUCCACUUUCAAGACUAAUCACUACUUCCAUAGAUGUUGUGCAAUAAUACAAAUACUUGACCAGAUGGUAGUGAUGGUAGAAAAAAAUUUUAUUGCUCCAAAAUUAAAAUAAGAAUGCAAUAUGUUAAGCAAAAGGCUGUGCAACAUCAAAUUAAUUGAUAAGUUUGUAAUUCAGUAAAUUAACAACUUUCGUGGUAAAAUACAACAAAUUUCUUUUGAAAAAAAUAAAAAAAAUAAAUCUUAAAAGACAGCAUUCAAUUUUGUGCGCAUCUUAUUUCUUAAGAUUUUUCAGGAGGAGGGCAAUAGAGGGACUUUCACCUAUGCAAGAGAGCAGAAGCCUUACUUUCCCUAUAAAGUAGACGUCAUUCUGAUUAAUAUGCGUUUGCAAAUCAGCUCCGUUUGAAUCAGUAUUCUGAUAGACACACGAGCCAUUUACAUCCAUUUCCAAAGUCACAUGUUGCGAGGAGGACUCAUUUGAUUGCUCCUAUACGAUCAUCUAAUUCAAGUAGCAAGGGUUGGAAGAGAAUAAAAAGUCACAAUUAUUCUUUUGCAUAAGUGAGACGAAAAUGAUAAAUGCAAUAUUAUCAGCAGUAAACAAGAAGAGAACGCUCCAAGAAAUAGAUAGAUGCAGACAAGCAAGUUAAAAUGCAUAGUCCCAAACCUCCGCAUACAACUUCUCUAAAAUAGCAAUAACGUGUUGAUGCUAUGUUUUCUCAGCAUCUACCUGCAAAGGCCCGAGACCAGGAAAACAACAAUAAAACCACUAGCUGAAGGAGAAAGCAAAGAAAGAAAUACACUUGACAUAAAUCUUGACAAGAAGCACAAUUUAAGACAUAACAAACCCCAAUCAUAUUGUUUAGAACUACCAUUCGUUAUUUCGUUAUUGUAACAUUUCGAACAAGUGUUGACUUAAUUCAACAUUGUUGGAAAGAUGGGCUUUUAGAAGCAGAAGAAAGCCUCUCAAACCAAAGUGCUUGUCCUUGUAUUGAUCAAGGGAUGUAAACAUAUUACAUUUGCAGGAUGAGAUUUAAUCACUCCCCUGAUUUAUUUGGGUUGCAGUAAAACUAAGCGAGCAACUGUUUGACUUCCAAGCAACAGCUAAAUCAGCUAUUAAAAUUCAAAUAAAAUCAUAAUAGAAUAAUAACAGGCCAUCUUGCAUCAAAAAUUAAGUUUAAUUUGUGAAUUGUUUUCUAUAGACAUGUCAGUUUCUGCUAUUGAAAUGUUAAAAGCAUUGAAAAAUUAUUCAAUAAAUUAUGCAAGCAUUAAAAUAGAGGACAUAUUAAAAAGUUUCUAAUUACAAUGUUAAUAUUUCCUAUAUUCUAGCAUUUGCAUAUUUUAAUUUAUUUAAAAGCUACGUCGAUCAACUUUGGGCAUGAAGAUUUUAGCUUCUACGAGACUUGCUUGGAAUAUGCACAAGAGUGUUAAAAUAUGAUGCAUCCAACGAAAGACAAACCACGUGUAGUCUUUUAAUUAAGCCAAAGUAGCAGCUCAAACAAAUGACACUUGGACCAACAUGCAAUCAUGAAGUGGCCGGAAAAAGGACAAAUGCUACUUUGGCUUAAAUAAAAAAUAACAUGUGACUUGACUUUUGCUGGACAUGCAUCAUGUUAUUACAAGACAACAGAAAUCAGUAUGAUAGUACUAAAAGUUGACAAUAACAUGAAGAUAAGAGGCAGACUGUCAACACAUGCAUAGGCACACACAAGAAAGUAUUAACUUCUAUACCAUAGCAAAAAGUCUUUGAUAUGUCAUCUGUUGCUGCUGUGAUUCAACUGACAGCAUGGCAGCUGUUGCUUCUCUACCAAGAGCCAUUAUUGUAGAUUUAAGCUCCGUCUAUCUUGCUUCUGCAUUUCGAAGCUUCACAGCACUCUCUGCUGAUAUAUCAGAUUCCCUAAUCUUUGAUCGGCGCCUAAAUACUUCAGCUGCCUGGUGAAAAUAUUCAAUAUAAAUCUAACAUAAUUCUAAUCUUGCCUUAUACAUGCAUAUGUUACCUCAAAGCUUACCUGGGCUUCAACUUCAUGUCGAAGUUUGUCAUAACGAUGAGUCAGGUGUCGAGCAUCUUCCAAAGGUGUUCCGUUGAUUAACGCCCGUAGUGGCUCAGGUACCUACAUGUCCAAAAACCUGUAACAUAGUUAGAAAAAUGAAAAGAAAGAGCGAAACCUCAAUUAAAAAGUUCCUCCAACAUAAUCAUGGAAUUUGGGCCUACUUCAAGGAUAUAUAUAAGGAUAAUUUAUGCAAUUUUGGGUCUGAGGAUGAUUCAUAUUAGGUUAGUGUUCUUCUCUUCUGUAUUUAAGGUUAAAAUAGAAAUAAACCUAUGAAAAUAUCUAAAUUAGGGCUGUAAGACUUCCACAUGCAUCCUUCAGUCUCAUGGAUUUGAUUUUACUAUAGAUGCAAGUGUCUUUAAAGAAAAUGCUUGGAGUCAAUUGAGAGAACUCACGGCCAAAAACUUGUCACACGCUAGUCUUUGCUAGUGAUGUAAGAAGUCACAGGGUCUCUUCAACAUUUGAACCAAUAAAAUUAUUAAGUCAUGGAUGUCACUAGCAAUGAUUUUAAUAUAAAACAUUAAAUAUUUCAGAGUUGUAACUUUAAAAUGGAUUCUUUUAUUCAAUAUCAUAGAACUAAGUUUCCUUAUGAGAAGAUAAUAGUUUCGAUAAUAAUUUUACAUAUAAUUUUCUAUAUUUGAAUUAUUUUCUAGUUAGGGAUGAACUAACCUGAUCACGAAGAAUCCCGAGCAAAGUUUCCCUCUCAUUUUCCAUCAAAUCAUGUGAAGUGCCAAAUUGAAGAGCAGCUCUUGCAACGCAAGAAUUGUCACUUUGAUUCUCUGCUCCAUACUUGCAACAAUCUUCAGCCAACUUUCUCGCUACAAUAUUUGAAUACAAAAAUAUUGUACACAAGAACUAUAAAAAACUAAUGAAAAAUGCCAAGAUGGAGCAGAUGCUUCAAUACUGCCCGUACAAACCAUAAAAAACUAAUGAAAAAUAAAUAAAAUCAAGAAAUUUUACUAAUUAAAAGUCUAAAUAUAAUUUUGAAAAAAGAAAAGAAACGGACUUGCUGCUGCUUGGCGACUUGUUCUCGGAGCUUGAUUGCUUGUUUCUUGAUAGCUUCCAUACUGUUUCUUUCAAAAAGCGACGACGGCUCAGCUCAUGGAAGUGGAAAAAAAAAGUGUGAUCGAGAAAAAUGAAAAGGCGUGAAUAAUUUUUGACAAAAAGCGAAAAUCAAGGAAAGCCGGCUCUUUCCAGAAAAUAAAAAAAGAAAAAAGAAAAUCAUAAGUUUGAAAGGAGAAGAUGAUAGUGGAAGUAUGCAGUGUGGCUGCCAGGUACUUGGAUUGUAUUGUCGGGUAAGGUAAAAGUGGAGAAUUAUAAGUUUGAACAGAGCAUGUUGGACUUUUGUUGACCAAAUUCAAAAGCCCAAUGGGACGGUCCAGAAGCUUUUGAAUAGAAAAACUUGCUAGAAAGCAUCAGUUUAAAUCACUACUUAAACGCUUGCUUUAACUGCACCGCUUUGUACUGUUUUAUGUAUGUAGCGGUUGUGCGGUUGUAAUUCACGGCUGACGCUACGUGUUUGUUUGUACUGUUCUAUUCGGUGACAGAGUAUUAUUAGUUAGGCCAAAACUAUGUUGCAACAGUGGUACAAUAGCACUGUUGUUUUCAGUCAUUAGAUCUAUAGUUGUACAGUUGCAUUAACAAGAUCCAAUGGUUGAAAACAACAGUGGUACCGAACUACUGUUGCAACAUAGCUGGACCCUAUUAGUUAUUUCAAAGGGAUAAAUAAGAUUGGUUACAACAAACCUACUAAUUUUAUAAAAUUCAAGUAAUAUAGAAUAAAAUAAAAAAAUAAAUACAAAAUUGACUUUUAUUUUUUAUGGUUGACUAUAUUUUGUGUUCUCUUCGGGCACUGCUACAAUUCUUCCCUAUAUAUCAAUUACACCACAUACUAUCGACACAAGAAAUGAAAUCUAAUAUCACCUAUUUAGUUAAAAAAUCACUCAUGAAAAAAUUUUACCAUUUUGAUUUGAGGAUCCAUAUUUUGAACUACAAGCUAAUGUUCAUCAAGAAUCACUGAUGGCCGUUGAGUAGAAAAAUUAUUUUUGGACAAAUUAUUUUUGUUGAUAGAAGAAUUUCUUUAGGGACUACUAAAUUAUUAAUAAAAAUAUCGAACACACCCAAAUAUCAUCGACACAAUUGAUUUUGAGGAUCCAUGCUUUGAACUGCCGCCUAAUGUUCAUCAAGAAUAGAGUAUGGCUUGUGAGUAUAAAAUUUUCUUAUUUUGGCCCGAAAUAAAAAAAAAUUAAAUUGGAUGAGAAUCUGCCACUUUCUCAUGAAGAAAGGCAUACGGAGCAUACCAUGGUACCAUACAAUAUAAGGAGCCUCCGUUCUUUGGUUUUUCAAACUCUGAAGGGGCCAAUAUUGCCAAAUUCCCCCUUGAAAAUUCUGAUUACGACAUUAUUCAUCGCUUGAUGCAAUCAAAGUAGUGACAAAGUAAUUGCUAGGCAAGGUUGCUGAGAGCAAAAUUGUCCUAAGCAUUAUAUGCAUACAUGGUGCGGUACAUAGAGCACGUUGAAUUCCCCACUAUAACACAAAUCCAGAAAGACAAGUAAUAACUCAACUGAUAUAAAGACAAAAAGAAGAUAAAAUGAUAUAGAACAAAGAAUUUCAAAGAGACAGCAACAUACGAUAGACUGAAGCCACUUGAUCUGCUCAUUGAUUGCAGCCUUAAACUUGCAAAUAGUUACUGUACGCUAGUGCUCUAAGAAGUGAAAAUGAUGCAAGCCCUGAUUCCCUUUUGACUUCCAUUUACUGUCAAACAUUCUAGUAAUACAAAAAAUUGUUUAGAUAUCUUGCUAUAAAUAUAGCCGUUUGACUGUCAUAAUAAAGUCACAAAUAACCAUUCAUAUUGAUCUACUAUCACACAGCAUGCUUUAUGCAUACAACAGCUGUAUGUAUACCAACUCCUAACCUUAUCAACACAUUUGGCAAAAACUUAGGAAGAAAACUAUUUCUCCAUCUCUUUUUUGAAAUUUCACAAUAACCAGCACAAUGUGAAAGCUAUGUUCUAACCUUAUGAUAAAUGCUCCAGACUCCAAAAGGAUUUUAUAUAUGAGAGUUUGUUGCAGCAGAUAUAUUGACUUAUCAAGUAUGAAUCAUUGUCUGGAUGAACUAUCUUUAGAUAAAAGAAUAUUAGAACCACUGUAGAAUAUCUUUACGCUGCUGGUUCUAACAGGAAUCUGCAUGUGGCAACAAUUGCUAGAUCCACAACUCCCCAACUUGAAAUACAUAGUUGCACACCAUGAGAUAGUGCUACAAUCUACUGAGAUCUAACUUAUAUGGUACUUUAAGCUACUAAUGUUUGCAUAUUUCUACAUGUUAAAUUAACACUAUUAUCUAUAAUCACUCCAAAACAACAAAUGAUAAGCAACUUUUGGCCACUUAUUACUAGCAUCCACAAUUAUAAAUAAGAGAUCAUGGGUUUACUUGUUGCACCUACUUAAUUAUCUGCAGUUGACAUCCUGACGCAAGGUUUAAAUAGUGACUGCUUAGAACCCUUGUAGUUGGAUCUUGACCUCUCCCAUUGUAGCCAAGAUUGGUUACUCUGGUAAUGAAUCAACACUCUCCUGCUCAGGGCCAUGAAGAUCUGAAAGCUCAGCACUAGUGGAGAACUUCAUCAAUCUCUUCUUCUCAGCAUACUUGAGACAAGGCUGCCUUACGAGACCAAUCACCAUAGCACCAACGCUUAAAACUGCAACUUUUAAAGAAGAAAGAGCCAACACAACACAACACAACACAAAUCAAUAUGGUUGGAGGAAUACACAUGAUAAUGGCUCCAACAGUGACAGUGGGUAUCUUGUAGGGACGAGAUGCAGCAGGAUAUUGCAUCCUUAACCAUACAAAUGCUAUGAACUCCAUAAUCAUUCCAAAACAGUACAGGAAGUUCUCUGCAGCUACAAUAUCUCAAAAGCUCAGCCAUGAUAGCAAAACCACACCGGAUGCUGAGAAUAUGAUUCCAAUCAAAGGAGUCCCAUAACAAGACCUCUUAGCAAAAAACUCAGGUAGCGUUCCACGCUCAGCCAUCCCCAAAAGUUGGAAAGAGUCGCUGCUCAUCUCAGCCACAAACAUGCCCAUAUUGGACAUUGCUGCAGCCCCCUGGAUGCACCAUCUCAACCAAACUCCUCCAAGCACUUUAGCGAUAUCUGAAAAGUAACCAUCGGUCCACAAGUCGCGAUCUAAUGGAAUAGCUCCAGUUCCAACUAGAAGGGGAAAGAAAUAUCCAAAAACGACCAAGAUCAAAGCAUAAAACAAAGCCUUUGGAAGAGUCUUCUUUGGGUUAUCCACCUCUCCAGCUAGUUUACUUAUUGAGUCCCAGUAGUUGGAGAUUCCAAAACAGGGUGUUCAAAUACAAAUUCCAGUCCACUUCACCUAAAUUUACUACAAGCCAUCUUGAAGGCUCUAACUUGGGAAGGGACACAAGUCCCAUAACCACAAAAGGAAGGAAUGAGAAAAUCUCUAAAAGAACAGCAGCCCAUCCCACAAUGGUUAGACCCCUAUAGUUCAUGAAAGUGAGAACAAAAGUCAAAGCUAACGCCGCAAAGGCUCUAGGUAACCCAUCGCCCAAAGCAGGGAUAUACCAGACUUCAAGUAGUCAAGAAACAGAACUGGGUAUAAAGCAUUAUCAAUAACCCCACUUAGCCAUUUCAUCCAAACUUGCUGAAAACCCCAAUAUGGGCCUAAGGCAGAUGAAACCCAAACCACAUAACCACAAUUUUCAGGAAACACGGUACCCAUCUCGGCAGUAAUUAAAGCUUCAGGGACACUCCAUAUAAUCGGAAACACCAAGAAACCAAGAAGUGCUAAAAGAGGACCAGCUGCCUUUACACUAUCCUCAACACCAAACGCCCCCCCAGAAACCUCAUAGAAUAUAAGGAAAAUAAGUGGCAAGAUUGAUACUUUUUUAGCGCCAUGGACUCUAGGAGAAGAUGGUUGGUCAUUGAUAUUAACAUAUUCAACAGCAUCAGACUGCCCCAUUUCUACUGAAAGUUGCCUAUUCACAGUGUUCCUCAAUUUCUGCAUCAAGUUUAAGCAUAACUAUCAAAAGGGUAUCGGCAUCUAAAUUAUGAAACAAAAUGAGCAUUUACUUAUUAAAAAAAUUCAAAAAAACAGAAAUGGAUUUCACAGAACACAUGAAUUUAAGUUCAACAUUAAACAGGCGCUUAAGAAAACAAAAGGGUCUGGUCGUAAAGCCAUCAGAUUGCAAGAUUGAACAACAUUAACGGAAUCAAUAGAAUCGAUGUAAAGAGAUCUGAAAAGAAAAUAAAAUAAAAGAUGAAGAGGGAUAAAACGACCCAUCAAAUAAGUGCAUGCAGAGCAGAGAGGCAGAUACUAGAGAAGCUCCGUCAUGUUAGAGAGAGCCUAAAUCAAUCAGAGCUCACUGAGUUUCUUUUCAACUGACCGGCAGAUUUGGAGUAGCAUAACAUAAUAUUUUUGCUUUUAAUUUUCGGAACACUUUUGAAUGGAAUUUUUUGUUUUUCAAAACUAACGAAAUCGUAAAAAUAAAUAAACACGUGUUUGGUUUUGGGCUUCUUCUUUUGUUCAUUUAAUAUCAUUUGGUUCCCUGAUUUUUGACUAAUUAUCAACGGUAUCCUGUUAGUUUCCAAAUUGAAAUAAUAUUAGGUCAUGAGAUUAUUUACUCCAUUUAGCAAUGUAGACUUAAUAGUGUAUUGAAAAAGCUUUGUCAAAUAGUAGUAAUAGGGGCAUAAGAAAUAAGUUCUUCAGAAUUUAGAUAAUAUACUUGGCUCUAGGAAGAUUCCCCUCUUAUCACUCAAGUUAGGCUUUUACCUUAGAGUUGAGUAAAUUAUUAAAAUAAAUUAUAGCUAUCACAAAUUCGUCAGGAGACUUUCAAUUUUUUUCCAUCAAAUGGCAAUGAGGCAAAAUUACCUCAACUUAUAUUUCAAAACUAAUACUUCAAAUUCUGACAAUAAAUUUGAUGACAGUCAAUUUUAUGUAUAGUAAUUUUGACUCUUUUGUUUGGUCUAAAAGUAAUUAUUUAAAAUGACAAUAUAACUUAUUUAGAAGAAAUGGUAAACUUAUAGUUCGUAAUAUUAUUUACACAAAUAAUAAAGACUAAUUUGAUAAUAAUCUUUCAAAUAAUAAUGAAGUGUUAAUUACUAUUUAACAUUUUUGAUUAAUUUCUAAAUUUAAAACAAAUAUGAAAGUUGAUUGCUUUGAAGGUUGGAUCGUGACAAAUUGACAAAUGAAAAGAGAAGUAGAGAAUAUAUAUUCUGAUGAAAGGGACAAGAUUCAGCAAGGGGACAAUAUUCUCUAUUGGACCGACAAAUGGGGGAAAAGAAUAUAUAUAUAUAUAUAAUUUCUUAUUUGUGGAUUGGCCAACACGUGUAACAAAUAUGAAAAGAUAAAAUUUGGCGUGGUUUUAACCGAUAUAAGACAAGAAGAACAAAGCAAAGCCCAUGAAAAUUCACCUUUCAUGUGGGUUGGAUCGGAUAAAAUCAAUAUCUUGAAUCAAACAAAAUGUUUGGUACAUAAAGUUUUUUUUUUUUACAUGAUAUUAGAUUUUUAUCCCUCGAAUUUUUACAUGAUAUUAGAUUUUUAACCCUCACUAAUAUUCGAGAGAUAUCUACUCCUCAUUUUUGGGUAAGGGAGAAGACUACCUUCACUCAAUUAUAAUUAAGGAAUGAAAUACCCCCACAUUACACUUGUAGGGGUUCAAACUGUUGCCCUCCAACUUGGAGUGCAGCAGCGCUGACCACUCGGCCAAAGUCCGAGUGGCUGGUACAUGAAGGUUUUGAGUGUGUGUAAUGAGCCAAAAUUUACAUAAGGAUAUUUUAGUAAAUAUAAGAAAAAAAGGCUCAGGGAAUGGCCUAUAGAUAGAAGCACGCAGCCCAUGAGUGAUGAGAAUACAAUUUAACUGUUCAAACUAAUUAGAAGCAAAUUCUUUCAUAUCUUUCUUUAAUUUUUCCGCUUAGUUCCUUAGCAUCCAAUCAAGUUCAAGUUAAAACACUGUUGAGACAACAAUAUGCAGGCAUCAAUAAGCAUAGUAGUUUUUUAUAUGUAUUCUAUACGACAAUUAUAGAACUUUUUGCAGCAACUUUUUUUCAUUAACUAAUGUUUGAAGAACUUGUUAAAAAAAAUGGUAAAUUUAUAAUUUUGAAAAAAAAGAAAGAAAGUGACGUUACCUCAUCGUCAUUAGAGACUUGUUGCAAUGAUAGCUCAAAAUUAAAAUUUUUGAAGAAUUAGUAGACGACGAUGAUGUAAUAUUUAUACAGUCACCAACAUGUUGAUUUUUGUUUAAUGUUUGAUCGAUAGAAACGCUUGUCGUCGUCGCUGUUGUUGAAUUCAUACAUAGAACACAGAAGAGAAGGAGGGAGGAAAGGGAAGAGAAGAAGAGAGAAGUGGCAUAUAGCAAAUAUGAUAUGCUAGCUGCAUACCAGCCUUAGAGAGAUUUUUUUUAAUAUUUAUUAUAUUUUUGUUUUUGUUAUUGGUUUGUCAUAUGCUUCCAGGGAAGCAAUACGUUACAUCAUAAAUUGCACCUUUUAGGGGAGGUGGUAAAAAACGUGAGAGCACUACGCUCCAGCGCAUACAUAUAGAAAGAGUUUUCGAAUUUUAAAAAGUUUCUUUAUUUCUUCCAUGUUUUUGUGCUUAAAAUAAAAUUUAAUUGUAUUUUGCAUUAACUUAGAAAAGAAAAGCCAGUUCUAUAUAUAAACUCAUGCAUUAAUUAGAAGAGUUGAACUAUUGGCACCCCUCUAUAAUCUUUAUAAAAUUCCUCUCCUAUUGUAAUUACAUUAAAGGACAAAAUAAAUCUAAUUAUAUCAUUAUAUUUCUCUUUUCAACUCUUUACACCCGUGCAACUACACCAAAGUCUUUUACAAUUUUUGUUUCCUCACAAACAACUUUUUCUUGAGAGAUUUACAAAACUUAUUUUUAAUUUUAAAAAAUAAAUAAUAGUUAUUUGAGUCCACUUUAAUUUACAAAACUUUCUAAUAAUAAGUUUUGUAGACUUAUUUUUCAUUUACAAAACUUUCUGAACUUAUUUUUAUUUUUAAAAAAUAAAUAAUAGCUAUUUGAGUCCACUUUAAUUCUACUUAAUUCAUACAUGUAUUUGAUUUUUUUGAGUAAAAUAUGUAUGAUUUAAUAAUUCAAAAAUUUAUAAAAACAAUAUUUGUAAUUGGAGUUAUUUGGAAGAAACUGAAUUGUUUUUCUUUUUGAAUAAAAAAAAGCUGAAAAAAGAAAAAGGAUAUUUUAGGAAUUAAAAUAGAUUUUGAUAGAAAAGGGGUUUGAACAGAAAAUUACAGGGUGCUAAUAGUCCCACUCUAAUUAAAAAAUGAGUUCAUGUGGAUGCAAAUGUACAAUAAAAGAGAUUCUCUUUUGUAUAUUGGAAGUAACAUAACUAGUGAGUAUAAUAUGUAAAUACAAGUUACCAAGAAUUUGCACUAGUGCUAAUUAAUGGCACAACUUUUGAGCUAUGAAUUUCUUCUUGAUAGUUUAAUUAUAUUUUUGAGUUUUCGGUAAACCUAUUUUAAUAAUUAUUAAAUUAUUUUCACUUCUUACGCCUUAAUAAAAAAAAAUCAAUAUUUUCUGGUCUAUUCUAUAUUUUGAAACUUAAUUUUUAAUUCUUUAUAUUGCAAACCAAACUAAGUCAAACAGAGUAUGCUCUUCAAAGAAUUUUUCCAUUGGCCAUUGCCUUCAAGAAGAUUUUAUUUUAUUUUUAUAUAUUAAUUUAACAUUUUUCCGUGCACUUGUAAACCGGGCCGUCGGAUUCCACAUAAAGCAAAUGAUCAAACCGUUACAAGACCGACCCGGACCCACUGACUCUCAUUUUCUUUCAUUUGACCAUUAAAAGCUUUUGACCACCCCCGCCAAAUAAAUAAAUAAGCUCUUGUUCUCUUUUGUUCCUUCUUAAAGGAAAAUAUAUCUGAUCACCAGAUAAUGAUUCCGGUGUCACAAAAUAUCAAGACAACCCCUAAAUUCCCUUAAAUUUACGAUAACACCCCACCAUGGAUGAUUCCGUUGAAAUGCCGCCUUACGAUGAAAGGCCUUAGAAGGGUUUUAACUUCACACCCAUGCGCUUGAUCUUAACCCUCAUUUUCCCAAUUUUAACUUUCUUUUCGUUGGCAUUUUUGAUCGAGAUCGUUACUGUUUUAUUCGGCGAAUCAUCAGUUUCGAGUUCCAUUUUUGUCCCUUCCCAGUGCAAGAUAGUGCCAGCAGUAAGCUUUUUUAAAAUUUUCAAUUUUUUUCCAUUUAUGAAGCUCAAAAAUUUUAUUAAUUUUUGAAUUUUUUUUGAAUGAUUUUGCAGGUGUUGAUAUAAGGUCAUCAAAGGUUUGUGAACUUGGAGUGUUGAAUUAUAAGGCGAAGCGUGUGUUUUAUCCAUUUGAAGCAAGUAAAUUUCGCCGUCGAUAUGAUUACUAUUGGGCUUCUAUCUUCAAGGUAUUCAUACAUUUUCUCAACUUUAAUUACUUACCUGUACUAUUAGCUUCUUAGUGGCGGUCUUGUUUUGUGUUUUUGAUGAAUGUGUUUAAGGGUCAGUUUGGGAAUGCUGGUAAUAGGAUGUUGUUAGUGUUUGGCAGUAAAUUUGCUAUGCAUAAUUCAGCAAUGUGCUUGAUUUUGGUUAUUGUCUUUAACAAUUUUUAGGUAGAGUACUUAGAUCAUUCACUGGGACAAACGCAGAGCUUGGUUGACCAAAGAUAAGUUCCAGGCUGGGGUCGGCAAUGCAGAGCUUCUGCGUGUAUUAAAAUUUGAAGCCUAGUAAAUGAAUUUCUAAUUUAUUUAUAGUGUUUGUUUUAUCUUGAUAGAAAUGAAUGCUAACUCAAGAUUUUCCCAACUUUGAUUACUUACCUGUACUAUAAGCUUCUUAGUGGCGGUCUUGUGAGCGGUGUGGCUGACAGCUUCUUGAAAAUUAUAAGUUUGAACAGAGCAUGCUAGACUUUUGUUGACCAAAUUCGAAAGCCAAAUGGCACAGCUCAGAACCUUUUGAAUUGAAUAACUUACUAGAAAGCUCCAAUUUUUUGUUGGCUACGGUAAAAGGAUGUUGUUUUAUUCUUCUUAUACUUUACGCUUGCAUCAGCUUAAAUCACUUCUUAAACGCUUUGCUUUAACUCCACCGCUUCAUACUGUUCUAUAUAUGUAUCGGGUAUGCGGUUGUAGUUCACUGCUGAGACUACGUGUUUGUUUGACGUGGUAAUUACGUUACGAGUCUGUUAAACAUUCGGUGAUUAAAGUAUUAUCAGUUAUUUCGAGGGGACAAAAAAGAUUAGUUACAACACACCCACUAGUUUUAUAAAAUUUGAAUAAGAUGGAAUAAAAUAAAAAAAUAAAUAAGUAAAUUGACUUUUAAUUUAGUGGUUGAAUAUAUUUUGUAUUCUCUCGGGGUACUGCUGUAAUUGUUCCUUAAAUGUCAGUCACACCCACAUGUUACAGACACAAGAAAUGGAAUCUAAGAUCACCUGUUUAAUUAAAGAAUCACUCAUGAAAAAAUUUUGCCAUUUUGAUUUGAGGAUCCACAUUUUGAACAACCAACUUAUCUUCAUCAAGAACAGAUCAUGGCCUGUGAGUAGAAAGAUUAUUUUUGGACAAAUUAUUUUUGUUAAUAGAAGAAUUUCUCAAGGGACUAUUAAAAUUACUAAUAAAAAUGUCAGACACACCCACGUACCAUCGACACAAUUGACUAUGAGGAUCCAUGUUUUGAACUGCCACUUAAUGUUCAUUAAGAACAGAGUAUGGCUUGUGAGAAGAAAAUUUUCUGAUUUUGGCCUGGAACAAAAAAAAAUUAAAUUGAAGGAGAAUCUGGUACUUUCUCAUUAAGAAAGGCAGACGGGGCAUACUAUGGUACCAUAAAAUACGAAAAGUCUCCAUUCUCUAGCUUUUUAAACUCUGAAGGGGGCAAUAUUCCCCAAUUACCCCGUGAAAAUUCUGAUUACGACAUUACUCAUCGGUUGAUACAUAAGUACAAGUACUGACAAAAUUAGGAAAAAUAUGACUCAUAAGUAAUUACUAGGCAGGGCUCUUGAGAGCAACAUUAUACUAGGCUUUAUAUGCAUACAUGGUGUGGUACAUAGAGCACGUUGAAUUCCACACUAUAACACAAACCCAGAAAGACAAGUAAUAUCUCAACUGAUAUAAAGACAAAAAGAAAAUAAAAUGAUAUAGAAAAAAGAAUUUCUAAGAGACAGCAACAUACAAUAGACUGAAGCCAGUUGAUCUGCUCAUUGAUUGCAGCCUUAAACUUGCAAAUGUUUACUGUAGCCUGGUGCUCUAAGAAGUGAAAAUGAUGCAAACCUUGAUUCCCUGUUUACUUCCAUUUACCAUCAAACAUUCUAUUCAUAAGAAAAAAAAUCUUUAGAUAUCUUGCCGUAAAUAUAGCCAUUUGAUUGUCUUAAUAAAGCCACACACAACCAUUCAUAUUGAUCCACAUUGCCACAUAGCCUGAUUUAAGCAUACAACAGCUGAAUGUAUACUGACUCCUAACCUUAUCAAUACAUUGGCGACAACUUAAGAAAAAAACUAUUUCUCCAUCUCUUUUUUGAAAUUUCACAAUAAAACAGCACAAUGUAAGAGCUGGAAUGAAAAUGGACCGUUUGGAACUAUGGCGGAAGCUUCAACUAGUGUAGUGAGUUGACCUUCUUAUUAACCUAGCGAGAUCAAACACUGCCCUUGAUCUUGAACAUAUCAAUACGAUACGCACAACUUAUGAUUGAAUCCAGAAACAAUCAAAUCUUUAGCAAGAAUAAUUAAUCAGAAUCAAGAAACAAGUUUAAUGAAUAUAAACCUAUAAUUGGAACAAACACAGCCAAAGAACCCAAGAAUGACACAACGAACACCAAGGGAGAAGCUUUCCAGUGAGAUUAUAUUAAUGAUCAAAGAAGAAUCUUUUUACAAAGAUAACAAAAGAGAUUUCAGAGAAUAAGCUAUGACCCUCUCUCUCUUCAAUCUCUGUCUAGUUUGUUAACAGUGAUGACCCCAAUCUGCUUCGUUAGCCAGCUUCAUAACUGCGUCAGUGACAAACUAGCAAACCCAGAUUGAGCAGACUAACGACACGUGCAUAACGGCUUUAACGAACUUGGUUAAAGAACUGCUCACAUGUUCGUCACGCGUGUUGCUUAAAUGAUAGCCAAAACGACUUCAACCAAAUGCCGUUUUGAAGCUUAUGAAUUAUAAGUGAAAACACGUGCUUGUCUCGUGACAUUUAAAUGCAACAACAAGCCCAAAACACUGCCGGUUCACUAUGUUGAGUUUGCCAUCUCUAAGCUUCACAACUAGCAGCGGACAAGAUGAUAAUUUAAUUGACAUGGAGAGCUUUUAUAUCACUUUUACAACAUUCUAUAUAAUUGUGAUAUUGGGAAUCGUCGGUGUUGUAUAUGUGAACCCUCGUUGGCGACACUGGUGGUUUUAUCUUUAUUGAAAUAUGGAUGACUUUUCGUUACUAUUUUGUUGUACAUAACAUUAUUCUCAGGAGAUUUAAUCAUUGAAAUUAACAUGUUAGUUUCAUUAGAAGGCUGAGUGGUUAGGGCUGCUACCCUCCAACUUGGAGGGCAAUAGUUUGAACCCACAAGCGCAGUGUGGGGGUAUUUCAUUCUUUAAUUACAUUGUAUAAUUGAAUAAAGAUAAUAUUCUCUCUUACCCAAGUGUGAGUGGAGUAGACAUCCUUCGAAUAUUAGCGAGGGUUAAAACUUGGGCAGAGCUCAAUAAGUAUUGAUGUAAGUUGGUCCUAAUAAUAGUCUGAUUUGUAAAUAUCAGUUAUAGUCUCAUGUUUCCUUCCUUAAUUAUAUUGUAUAAUUAAGUAAAUGUACUCUUUUCUCUUACCCAAGUGUGAGUGGAGUAAACAUCCCUCGAAUAUUAGUGAGGGUUAAAAUCUGGGUAGAGCUCCAUAAGUAUUGAUGUAAUUUGAUCCUAAUAAUAGUAUGAUUUGUAAAUAUCAGUUAUAUUAUCAUGUAAUAUGAGUUGUAAUUUGAGUAAUAAUUUCAUGUAAUUACAAAAAAAAUGUUACUUUCAUUACUUUUUUCUUCGUUAAAAUUCUCAAGUAUCAAUUAUGUUUGCUUAAGAAAUAAAAUUUCGUUAUGAAAAUUGUAGCAGUAUUUCCGAGCACCUCACAUUUUCAAUGAUUUUUCAUAAAUCAAUUAAUCUGCCAUACCAAUAUCAGGUUUAGUUUUUCAGACUAAAUGAUCAAGAAAGCAAACAUACAAAUUCACAUUUUAGAGGGGUAAACUAGCUUUUAGAUUUUAGAACUAGGCUAGCUACCUCACCAAAUUCCAAUCUGUACAGUGAACUACAAGAUUAAGAAAAUAAUGUAUUUAUAGUUUAAUUGAAUCAUGAGAAAACAAUGUAGUCAUAGCUCAAUCGGACAUGAUCACGGAGAGGCAUAUUCUUUUCAAGUUAAUUUGAUCCAUUUAUAAGAAAUGAAGUGGAUUGAAGUUAAAAGUUCAAAUAACAAAUCCUUGUUCUUGAGUUUUACGACGUCGUUACUCCUUCAAGAGGCUGAUUAUGCAAGUGAAUGCGGAAACAGAAUGCAUUAUCCACGGGGAUGAUAAAUCAAAAGGCGGGAUCAUAGUCUAUGCCCGCAGAUUAACAAUUUCACUCAUAUAGAAAAUUAAUUUUUUUAUAUAUACUAAUCAACACUAGAUUGAUUAUGUUUUGUAUGUUUAUAUGCUAAUCAACAAUAAAUUAUAUUAAAUGAAGAAAUGCUUCAAAUUUUUCUAAUUUAAUUUAGAAAAUCAAUUAUUAACAUUAAUAUUCCUAAUAAAAAUUAUUUUCCAUCGGUAUUCAAAAUUUUCACUUAUAGAAAAUGUGUUUUACGUGAAUACAAGUUAUUGUGUAAAUUUGAAUGAUAGCGAAAAAUAAUUUUUUUAAUUAUUGUAAAAAUAAUUAACCAUAACAAAUCCCUUGUGUAAAUAAUAAUCAUUAUUUAAAAGGUAGAAAGAUGGUUAGUGCACAAUCAAAUUUUAAGCCCCUACCUCCUCGGCCCAAGAUUCAAACUUAGAUGAUCAGCCAAAUAAAAUUAUUUGAAAAUCAUUCAAUCAGGUUCUCGGGGAAAAAAUACAAGAUCCGUAUUUGCAUGAUAUAUAUGAAUUAAUGUAAUUUAUUUGAAUUAUCCAAAUUCAUUAGAGAUAAAACUAUAAAAGAUACCAAAAAAGUUAGAAGGAAGGGUGUGCUGGGAUAUUUUACAAACUAUAGGAAUCUGGUGAGAUUUUGAGCCAAACUGUAGGGAGUUGAAGGCAUUUGCCCAAUAUGUUUAGACGUACACUAACCGUUAUUUGAUCUUGUUGUUGGUCAUGUGAACUAAGAUGUAAAUUAAAGAAAAAGUAUAAAAUUAAAAAAAGAUAAGAUUUCUAAAAUGUGUGGAAGGUGAUUCAUGAUUCACUAAAAUUACUUGCCCCACAUAUAAAGGUAAACAUGUCUAAUUUCAUUAAAAAUAGGUGGAAAAAAUUAACUAAUAGAAAGCUACGGAAAUUAACCCCCACAAAAAUGACUUUUUAUAGAAGAAUUUAUGUUUUUUAAAAUAUGUUAUCAAAGUGUAUUUGAUCAAAUCUCAAUUGCUUAGUAUGGUUAGGAUUUUGUGAACAUAACUAAAAAGUGAAAAAUAUGAAUGAUAGGGGUGAUGCUUGCAAUAUGAAUAAAUAAUGGACUGAUUCAAUUGAUGAUUAAAUUUAUAUAUUAUUGAUUAUUUAUGAAUUUUCAGACUUGUUAUGAUGUAUAACUAUGUGAUUUUGAAACUUGAAACCGUGGCAAACAUUGAAAGGAAUUAUAACUUGAAAUCAUGACUCACGGGGUAUGUCAUGAUUCACGUGCACAAAAAAGGUAGAAUUGUGGAAAUUUACAACCCAACGACAAGUACGGAAAGAAAGGAAGAAAAUUAAAAGACUUCGGGCCUAGCCUGCGUGUAUUAAUUAUUAGAUUACUUUUUUUUAUAAGGGUAAUCAUCAAUUUACUCCAUAACAAUCUUUAAUUCAUUUCUUAAAAAUAUCAAAACUUUAAUUUAUCUUUUAAACAUCGUUACCUCUCUAUUGGUUUUAACAGUUCAAAGGGUAAAAUUAUAUUUGCAUAUUUUCUUGACCGCCAACUAAAUGAUAAAACUCAAAAUUCAAUCUUGUUAUCUUGUUUCAAUCCUCUAUCAAUCAAAUAAGAUUUCUAAAAUAUGUGGAAGAUAUUGCAUGAUUUCCUCAACCUACCUGGCCCGAACAUCAAGGUAAAUAUCUCUAAAAUAGUUGAUUAAAUCUCAGUUGCUAAGUAUAGUUAGGAUUGUGUGAACAUCACUGAAAACUAUGAUUGAUAGAAGUGAUCUUUGCAAUAUGAAUAAAUAAUUAACUGAAUCAAUUGAUUUAUAUAUUAAAGUUUAUGAAUUUUCGGGCUUGUUGCGAUAUAAUAAUAGCAUAUGAUUUUGAAACUUGAAACAGUGGUAAAUAUUGAAAGGAAUUAAUUUGAAAGCAUGAUCCGUGGGGAAUGUGAUGAAUCGUGUUUACAAAAAAGGUAGAAUUGUGGAAAUUUAUAACAGAACGAUAAAUAUGGUAAAAAGGAAGAAAAUUGAAAGACUUGGGGCCUGGCCUGGGUGUAUUUUCUAACUAUCCAAUGGACAAAAUUAUAUUUCUAUACUUUCUCUUACCUAAGUUUCAUAGAAUAGCUCAUUUCAUUUUUAUUUUUUAAAUAAUAGCCCAAAAUAUCAUUAUGUUAACUCAUUAUUAGUUGAAUGGCGUUUGUUAGUAAUUCAUUAAGGGUAAAAAAUGAUUUUCUAUCAAAGAGAAAAUUAGAAAAAUAAAUAAAAAUUGAUAUAUAACUAAAAAUUAUUUUAUCUAAUCCCACUAAAUAAGAAAUGCCAAAAAAGAUGAAAAAAUUAUAUUUCAAGCAAUUCUUUUUUCACUUAUUUCUAUUUUGGCAACAUGAAAGCCCUAUAAACCCUAGAUCUAAGUACCAAAAAUAUCACAAUUUUCUUAUUCAUAUAAGUAUACUCUCUAAUUGCAUUGUAAAAUGGCUUGAAUUGAAUUGAAGAUAAAGAAGAUAUUCAGCACAUGCAAGCACAUAAAAAUUGGUGGCAUUUUUGAGUUUUUCUUCCAAUGAUUUAAAGAUAUUGUUUUAAUUACAGUUUGUUCCUUAUGACAAUUAUUCAAUGGCGAUAUCAAACUAUAUCAUCGUUGAUUUCAUUUAAGAAAAAAGUUAAUGAAUUUUGCAUACUUUGUAGUGUUAUUUAAUUGUGUAAAAAAAUUAUUUUAAUAUAGUUUGUAUCGCUUUAAUGAAAAAUCCUAUUUUGCCCUCAAUGAAUUACUGGUUAACGAUUUUACACUAAUGGUGAGUUAAUGGAAAGAUAUUUUAGGCUAUUGUUUGAAAAGUAGGGAUAAAAUGAGCUAUUGCAUUAAACUCUAAGGAUGAAAAAUGAUUUUUCCCUUUUAUUAUCAAUCAACUAUCUGAUAAAAGUCAAAACUCAUAUUUUUUUUUCCCUUGUUUCAAUCCCCUCUCAAUCAAAAAAGUUUCCUUGUCUAAGCAAUGAGGAAUAUGGCUAGAAAGAUUGUUAUUAGAAAGAUUUAUCAAUAGUAAUUAGUUCACAACUGAACAGUUUUAGAUUAUUGUGAGUCAAUAUAGGUCCUGUUUAGGAUUGAAGUGUUGCAGUUUUUAAGCUACAGCUGCUGUAGAAAAAAAAACUAUAAUUAUGAAAUAAGAGUUAAUAAUAUAUAAUAAAUAUAAAUUUUAAAUAAUAAUUUUGACAAAAUUAUUAAAAAUAUAAUAGAUUUUUCAUAAUACAAAUAAAAAAAUCAUAUCAACAUAGCUUGCAAGGUACAACAGUUAGUAUGAUGUUAGUUUAUUUUUGCGUCAAUAUAAGUAGUCAAAUUGAAUAAGUUAGUGAAAUGCUGCCUCACUGUCCCAUUGAAUAUGAUUCAGCUAACAGGGCUAGAGCUUGUGGAUGCCAAUGGCACUGAACAAAGUAUUGGGUGGUAAUUUUAAGACCACGCUAUGCCCAAAACCCAAGUUAGGCGAUUACAAAUACGGGAAUCAAUGUCACUUUGCUAGGAAUGGAGAGGAUAGAUUGCUUAGUGAAAUGCAACUUUGUAGAAUGCUGAGAGAUGUGCUGAGAGAUGAGGAUAGUUGUCGAUUUCUUCAUGUAAAUGCUGAGAGAUGUGCGGAAGUUUCUACUCAGUUUAGGCUUAGUUUAAGAAUAGCCUGGUGAUAAACAUUUUGAGUGGUGGAUCUUCUGUGGAUAACAAAAGUAGGUCUAUUCAAUGGGAACGCGACAAGGGGCUGGCUAACUCGCUCAGGUUGUGCAAAUGUUAAAAGCAGAAUGCCAGUUGUAUGAAGUUAUGUCAUUUUCUUUAUAGAACUAUGAAAGCUUGGAGUCCACGAUUCAAUGGAAUCUCGGGCUGUGCCAAUGAUUGUUUCAAGUACUUUUUCUACUUUCAAUGUCCAGACUAAGACUAUUUCUAAGCAGCAAGUGCAGGAUAUAAAGUGCAAAUCAAAAUAGACAGAAGUGAAGAGGAAGAUACGUGGUAUAUAUGUUGAUUGGAUUGAAGAUAUACCACUUUUGCCUAGUUCUUAGAACAAAGCAGAAAGCUGUAGUUAAAAAUAUACCUUCUGCUAAAGAUAAGUAGUCAAUAGUUCUAUUAGUGCAUAACUUUGCGAUUAAGGAUGAUCGCUGUCUAUUUUAAGAGCUUUUAAUAGAAUUUAGUAGCCCUGAUUUUCAAUCUCAGUGUUUUGCGGCUGUUAUCGACAUCCCUCUGUUACAUUUUUCAAGUUUCAUUGAUAAAUUAGUAGUUAGCCUUAUGAAGAAUGCACACACCAUAACCAUGUACGUUAAAUAGCAAACCUGCAUUUUAUUGAACUGUGAACUACUGAUUCAAUAAAGCUCAACAUAAGCUAACAAGUCUUUGUGAAAUUGCUUCAUGGUACAUUGUUUGAAGUAUUUAAGCUAAUAUAUGAUUAUUAAUGGGCUCGUGAGCCAACCCCAUUAAUUAUAUGUACAUAUAUAUAAUGUUACCAUCAAUAUGAUAUGUGACAUCCCAUAACAGCUAAUUAUAGAUCUUUAUCCAUUUUCAUAAUUUGCCUUCUGGCUUCCACUGCUCGUCACUAAAUUCAAAAUCCAUUGCACCUCAAAACAACAUGAGAAAUCUUAUAGGCAAAUCAUGACCAGUUCAAAGAUAAUAGCGAUUAUAGGGAAAGAAAAUUAAAAUCGAAGACGCAUAUAAAAUAAUCAAGCUACUGAUGAACAAAAUAACAUGAAAGUGUAAGUAUUUAUACUAACCUUCACUUAUUAGGAAGUUUGUUUCGCUAUUGGGUAAGAUCAAGCUCUCUGCAUAUCCUAUUGGCAAAAGGAAAUCACGCACGUGUGAUCUCUCUCUCUCUCUCUACACACGCACACAUAUACACACGCAUAUACAUAUACAUGCAUGGUCAUCAUCUUAGAAACCGAUUGAGAAAUUAUUGUCAGAGUUUGAAUUUGCGCAAUGACUAGUCAUGUUGCUAAAAAGAAAAAAGAUUGAGAUUGAAAGAAAUUCAUUAUCAUCAAAUUGGUCCAAUAUCCACUUCACUGUGUGGAUCAAAUACGUUUUCGAAUAGUGCACUGAUCUACAAUCUACUGCAAUAAUUUGUUAGGACCCUACAUCAACAAAUUAUGGGAUUAGUUGGUUUAUUAACCCUAAUACAUCCGGACAAGUCAAUCCUUUCAUGAGAAACAAAAUGAAUUUUGCAUCCCAUGAAACACAACAUACUCAGCUAGUUGAAAUUGUGGAUAUACGGGGGUAACGUAAGCAUGCUUUCACAAUUUGAAAGAUUUAUUUUUUAAGAUUUAGUAUUUCUGGGAUCCUAUUGAGAUAGAGGGGUGGUGAAGGUCUAUAGAUUUUAACUUGACAGCUUCCUAUAACCAAAGAUACAUAACUAUACUAAAUGAGCAUCAUUGAAUUUCAAAGUUAUUCAUUAUAAAUACUUAAAGAAAGAAAAAUAGAUAUUUUGGUAAUAGUAAUACAUUAUACCUUUUCUCUUUUCCAAAUUUGCUUAACCUUACUACAAGGCAAGCUGAGUCCAAUCAGGUUCUCCAAUUCAAAAUCUGAUGUCAGUAUUUUCAAAAGAUAUUUAUGCCAAUGGAGAUUUCUCAAUUCUAUAGGAAGGCAUUUUUUUUUUUUGAAACUGAUUAAGCAUCAGUUGGUUACUGUAUUACACAGAGAUAUAUACAACUGCUAUGACAGCAGGUCAUUACACUGAUAUUUACAAUCAGAUAUAUACAUGUGACUUAUAUUAUUACAUUUUUAUUCUAUGAAGUACAUGCCCAUCCAAAUACCCCUCACAGAGGAGGGAUGUCUCUACUCCACUCCCAUUGCGCAAGGGAGAAAGACGUUGUAAGAAGUCUCCAUACAAUUAUAUUUAAUUGAGGGAGGUUGAGUCCGUGGGGACUCGAACCAUUGCCCUCAUAGUCAUGCUUAACUUUGAGGGCAAUGAUUCACCACUGGGCUACAAGCCCAAGUGGCUAUAGGAAGGCAUUCUAAACCUCAGUGAAGUUACACCCUGGAGCUUAUAAUUAGAACACCAUCAUACUCGGAUAUAUAAAAUUUCAGCAAUCUAAAAUUUGACAUUGUUUUAAAUGCUCCAGAAUCUAAACGUAUGUCUCUUAUCCUGGAGAAUUCAAGAAUAUACUUUCGGUUGCAUGUGUCCCUUCAGAAAAGAAGCAAAUAAUGAGUUCGCAUAAAUUUUCUCAGGAAAAAAAUCCUAAAAUUUAUAAAGAGCUCCUUAAAUGAAGACAAAACCUGCACUCGCUCAACUCUUUUUUUUUUUUUUUAUGUUGUUCUAGUCUUCUUCAAUCCCCCCCUCUAAAACUUUAAUCCAAGCGUUAAGUGUAAGUAAACUAAAAUAUGAUUUUCGUAUGCAAGUACAACACAACAUACCCAUAAAAAUGAAGAGCGGAAGUUAGAAUCAAACCUCCAGCAAUUGAUAUUUUGCAAACUGAUAUUUGAUUCUUCUGAGACUUAUGUAAUCGUUUUGAUGGUGCAGUUUUUGAAUUAGAUUACAUAGCCUCAGGUACUAAUACCAUUUUCACCAUUUUGUUUUUAUUUCAUCUUUCCAUCAAAGAUGAAGGGGUGGGAAAUUAUCAAAGCAGCUGUUAGAUGACACCUGCUUCUAGACCUGCAAGUAAAACCAAAGAAUGAGCUCCAUUAGAUACAUUUGAGUUAAUAAAAUCCCUUGUUCCUCCUAAUGAUUAUAGACAUUAAUUAGGAGGGAGAAAUGAAGUAAAUUAAAUUAAAUGAAGGACCUUCAUUCUCCACGCAUGCAGCCGGCUAUUUUGUUACCAAGUUGUUGAAAGGAAGUAAAUAGAGAAGCAUUCAGAUACCACUCUCCCAGAUCGAUAUUCCUAGUAAGACCAAGGUGUAGUUGUACCACUCGGCCUGUGGAGUUGCUGCAGUCAACCCUUUCCCUUUGUUCAUCUACCCAGUUUUGAAGUCUAUAAGGGGAAUUGAAGAAAUGUUUAAGCCACAAAAGAUCAAAUUCCUCAUGCUCCAAACAUCCCUCACUCCACCCCCCCCACCCCCCGGCGCCCUCUUCUAAUAUUAUUAAUACGAGAACUAACAUUGUCACCAUUUUGAAUUUUGAACCACCCAUUCUAGCUAUAUCUCUAACUAUUAAAAAACACACAUUCUCUCUUUCUCUAUAACUAUAAAUAACAAAAGGGCUCUAUGUUAUUUAUAACAAACACAUCUAACAAUUUAUACACUCAGGCCCCAGCUAGCUUUCAGUUGUCUUCUUUGGUAGUCUUCAGCCUUCUCAAAGACUUUCGUCAUGCCUUACUUUCAGCCUUCCUUUCCAUAUUUGUCAUUUUGCUUUAAUUUUCCACAAUUCUACCUUGGAUGGUAAUAUUUAAUUCGCCACGAAUUGAGUGAAACGCUGGUCCGUUACCCAUCCCACUUCAAUAUUAACAAUAUUAAUAAUAAUAAAUAAAUUCUUCAAGCAAUUGAGAUUUGACACCCACCCCACUUCAAUAUUAAUAUUAAUGGGAAAUCAUAAAUUCUUCUACAAAUGAGUCAUUAUUUUAAAAUUGUUAUAAGCUUAUUUAUUUAAAAAAAAAAAAACGAGAAGGGGAACUUGUUAUCUUAAAAUUAAAAGAUUCUGGUGUGGCUACCCGAAUCCGCACGUUUUUUAAGAUUUUUUUUCCAAUCUUGUGUACCGUUCAACACCUAUAUAUGCUUUGCAAUUGAUUAGUUAACAAAAUAAAAUUCUUGAUCAGUUGUGCGGUAAAAAUAAUAUUAUUUUACAAAGCUUUACCUGGUGCAGUCAAUACGGCUAGAAAUUAAAGGAUCCCCAGCAUGAUAAUUAAGGAAUAAUUAUUAUUCUAGAUUUGUGCAGUGGCGAAGCUAAUAGCAUUUUUCGUUUUCGAGUGAGCUGAACUUUUUCCCCCCCCUAAUUCAAUACAUUUUUAUCGUACAAUAUAAUUUUGUAAAUAAGAAAUUAUAGAUGCACCUAAUAAUGCGCGACAAAAUAAGCUUUACCUCUCAAAAUAUUUGUUCUAAACAUUAUUUAAAAUAAUUUAGACACAUAUUUAUUCACAAAAUGAUGAACAGACAAGAAUUUGAUGAUAAUUGAAGAGGCAGCAUAACUAAUUAAUAUAAAAAUUUUUAUAUAGGUUUCAAUAAAGGAAAUUUUGUAACUAAAUAAUUUUUUUUCUGAGAAGCCCGGCCUUGCCCUCUCCAAAAUUCGCCACUGAAUUUGUGGGGUGGUUACUGGAGUUCACACGUUUUCAAAUUUUUUUUUCCCGAUCAUUCAAUAGUAAUUUUGCUUUUUAGUUUAUUAUUAUUGUUGUUAUUAUUAUUAACUCAGGCAUUUAUUAAAGCUCGAACACAUAAUCUAAACUUUGAUAUAUUUUUUGCUGAGAGGAGUCAAAAUUUGGGAAUUAUAUGCGCAUCAUAACAUAAUAAACAACCGCAAAGUAUCCUACGGAAACUUUCAGUGCACUCUGACAGCAGCUUUUGGUAGUCAAAUAGUCUUGGAAUCAUUUUUUAGCGCAUAUUCUUUUCGGUAAUGUGAUGAAUUCAUAUCUAAAGAAUCAAAACUAUGAUGUGAAUUUGCUGCAAAAACUGAUCCAAGACUAUUCAUUCAUUAUUAAACAUAUGAUAUCGUCCGUAAGACUGGAGAAAUAUGAAUGAAUUUGUUGAUGAUAACUCAGAAGACGGUUAACGGUUAAAUAUGCUAUGUUGAAAUGCACUGUACAGUCAAUUAAUUUAGUUAGGACUCUGUUUCUAGAAAACAGAGUAUAAAAGAUGACUAACUGUUUUGGGAGAUGCUUUUGGAGGGACUUCUAGAUGAAAUUGAGAGAGAGAGAGUGUGAGAGAAACUCUGUAAAGUCUUCUCCAAUUGGUAACCCCUUUUGUUGCGAAUAAUAAAGCUUCAAGGCUGUUCAUUUAUUUGUACAUAAGCAGGGGGAAAGCCUAUGUAUAGACAGCUUCAAAUGAGGAAACUGCACCUAACUACGCAGCAGCUGUAAUGAAGAAGACAUUGAUGCAUUAGCUUCCUGUUCCGUCUUCUUGGUCUUCGGGGAGGUUGGUAGCAGCAACUUUAAUUGUUCAAAGCAAACACUUAUCUUUCGUUUCUCAUAAAACCUCGUGAGGUAAUGCUUUAGAUGACUGGUAUGCAAUAUUGUCAAUGACAAAAUGUAAUGUUGUAUUCUGCUGAUCAACAUGUAAAAACUACAUAUUACUUGAAUUAGUUUUUUUUUUUUUUAAUUUACUAAAUUUCAGAAUUUGUUAACGAUGUUUGUACUUGGUUUUAACUCGAUUAAAGCUCAUGAAACUUAAUUGAUUAAUUAAUCAUUUAGUUAAAUUUAUUCGCUUUCAUGCUAUGGAUCUUUGCUAUAAUAACAAAUGCUUAAUUAUAUGCGUAUGUGUGAUAUAAUAGCUGCGUCUUACAUAGCAUAACACUACACCAAAUAUGCCCCCCUCAGAUACUAAUUAAUUACACAAAUGUACUUUUAUUCAAUUUAUUAUUUAAAAUAAUAUUUGAAAAAAAAUGGACUUGAGCAGAGCAAAGUAGAGAUAAUAAACAAGGGUAGAUUAUGCAUGCGUCAAAAGAUUUUAAAAAAGAAAAAGAGAAAAUAUACGGAAAACAAGAAAAUUGCGGGGAGCCACUCUUGUCUUUUACUUUGGACUUGAAGUCGUUCCAGGUGGAUAAUGUUUUCCUUUUAAAUAUUUAGAAUUAUAUUGUGGCGCUAUUUAAAAUAAGUUAUAAUUUUCUUAAAAUCAGACUAUGAUUACGGUACUCCAUGGUCAGAGUGUCGUUGAAUAAUGCUGAGUCUAUUGAGUCCUUUUCAAAUCGAAACCAGAACUAAAGAAAAAUCCAGAACUGAAACAAGGGCACGAACCAGCAAGAUUUGAAGGAAAAAUUUACUUCGUUAGUGAUCAACAACUAAUCAAACGUAAGUGGAUUUACAGAAGACUUUGUACAGAUCACAAUGAAACAGAUUCUAUGCAAAUUGACGAACAACUGAAGAAGAAAAAGGAUCGUACAACAGGCACUGCUCAUAAGCUUCUAUUUAUACUGAUGUUUCUGGAAACGUUGUAACAGAUUAUAACUAAUUCGUGCCACGUCAGCAUAAAAUAUCUACUAGACCCAUUUAACUGAAGUCAAUCUGCACAACGACUCUGAACCUCUUCAUAUUUUCCAUUUCAGUCCACAGACUCAACUACACACGUCUCCAAAAAUAAUAAGUUUUAUUUAUUUAUUUUUAUUAAUAAAAUAAAUUUUUAUUAACUUUCGUUGAUUUUGGUAGAUUUUGUUUUUGAGCUGUUACUACACUGUCGGCUGGUGUGUCAUCAUACGUAGUAGCGUCAUCAACCCUCUCAUGACUUUGACGGCCGAAACAUGUUUCAUGGCACAAAUAAUGACAGAUUUGUUUGAGGUACGGCGGAGAUGCCUAUUCAAAUAUUUGAAGCCAGCCCCUCCUUGUUUAACAUUUUUUUUUUUAAAAGGGGAACAACUGCUUUAGCUGUAUAUAUCAAGAAAAUUAGCUAACAGUUUAUGCACUUAAUUAUUUAUUUUGCCACACAUUUGUAAGUGGUCAAUGCUGCCGUAAAAUUAUUAGACCCAAAAUAAAGUGUGAUGAGGGACAGGAAUUAAUGUUCCCAUUAGCUGUAGCACCUAUCUUCCAUCUCUAAUUUUAACUUUCGAUUGAUGAAGUGUUUUCAAAUUUGUCAAAUGUCUGUAAACUGUUUAAUAAUUGAAGAAAGUUAAAAUUCAUUUUCUAAAAAUUAUUUUCAUUCAAAAUUGCGAUUGGAUGGUAAUCAGGGUUAAUAUCAGAGCUUAAGAUACUAUAACCGUGAGAACCUAUUGACUGCCAAUUAAAAUAUCCAUUAAAAUGUCUAGGGAGUUAUGAAGGUGGGGGUAACUUCCAAUUUCUAAGGCCACAGAGUAGACAUCAUCCAGGAUCCUAGGAAAGUCCAGUUAACCUCCUGCUCGAUGCAAUUAAUAAAUUUGGUCAAUGCCACUGAAACCUGCUAACUGACGUCACAAUGCGACAUGAGCACUUCAAAAUGGGACGGACAGUCAGUAGCACUGAAUUUUUCUUGCCUAAGAUUGAGCAAUUGGUCUAACUACUAAUCCCUAUUGUAGGUUGAUCAUUAUUUUUUCAAUUAUGUUCAGUUUGACCCAAAAAGUUGCAGAAUCUUGAGCUGAAUAUUGUCACGGAACACUGUCAAUGUCGCUUAGCAUAGCCAACAAACUUGAUGUUAAAACAAACACACAGUGUGUCUCAUGUCUCACAAAUCAAAUUAUCAUCUGUAAUGAUGGAGAAUUUUUCCAAUGUAUGAAGUAUGCUUUGAUACGUGGGUUACCUUGGAGAAGAUAUCUCAAAAUAAAGAAUAUGGGGAGAAAACAGUUCAGUAGUUUAUUAUUCUGUAGUCAAGUUUUGUCUCGAAAAUGGUCAAAAUUUAAAUGAUUAAGGACAGGGGAUCUUCAUUCUUUUUCCCCUUUUUUAUACCAAGAUAUCUCUCAACCUUUAUAUAAUCCCCACUGGAUAUCUGCUUCUCAUAAUUAAAAUAAAAAUUUCACCGCUCUAACAAUAAAAAGUAACAUCUUUAGUCAAAUAAUUUUGCGGUUCCUCAUCAUCUUAGUGUGAGACUAUCAGUACUUCCAAAAACAUAAUAAAACUGGUUUGAUCCUGUUUAUUAAUGUUUAAAUGUUGUUCAUUGUGACAUGUAGAAAUGAUGAGGCGAAGUUUAUUUGGGCAUCAAUUAGUAAGAUCUUGUUCGAAGUUGUUUUCUGAAAUGAACUGCCAAAUGGUAGUUUUUUGGGGGCAUUUGAUGGCUCUUUUUUUUUCCUCAUUUUCAACAUGUGCCUGCUUGGAACAGGAAGGAUUAGGCUUUAGAGUUGUUAUUUAUUUUGAGAUGCUCUGGUCAUUGCACAAUUUGUUCACACUGGAAAUUAGAAUGAGAAAUUUGUUGAUGCUGUUUUGAGAGAUCUGCAUUCUAUGCACAAUAACAUGAUUAAUGAAAAUGUAUUGUAGGACUGGAAAGAUCUGUGGCAGCCUGAGCUCGCAGGAAGAAUUUCAAUGGUUAAUUCUCCCCGAGAGGUUAUUGGUUCAGUUUUGAAGUAUAGGGGAGCAUCAUACAAUUCAAACGAUAUUGAUUCGCAAGUUGCUGGUGGGAAGAUUGCUGUUCAGCAGAAUCUGGCAUUACUGGCAAACCAGGUACUCUUACAGAAAUGAUAUCUGGUCAUUGCAUGUUAUUGCCUGACAACUGAUUUUGUUUGUAAAAGUCUACUUCUUCAUACAUAUGAAUGCAUAUGUUAGUGUUUUCUUCUCGUUUUCAUACAUAUAAAUGCAUAUGUUAGUGUUGUCUUUUCCUUUUCAUACAUAUUACUACAUAUGUUGGUGUUCUCUCCUGAGAUGGAUGCAAUAAAGGCUUUUGCUCCUAAAUUUAGCUGAAGAAAUGGCAAGGGAUGUGAGAUUCUGUCUCAUUAAAUUAACAAAAACCCAAAGCAAUGAAAAUCCAUAAUAAUGUGGUGUGGGUAAAUUGGCUCCAUUUGGUUCGUUUCCUUAAUGUGAAUGCGCGAGCAAUAGAGACUAACAAAAUGAAGUGACAACAAGAAGUCAGUGUCCUUUGAUGGAUGCAUUUUUAGGCAGAAAUAGGUUUGUAAUUGACCAAAUUUGUCUGGCAUGCCAAUUUCAAAAAAAUUAAAUUAUGUGGUUAUUAGCUGUAAUGAAGGGGGAUAGUAGGUGCAAUCAGGUGGAUCCUGGAAAGUUCAAUAAAGUUUUGGUAUGGCGUAGUGAAAUUGGUUUGUGCAACUCAGGAGUCUUUCAGGUGAACGAUGAUAGGUUUUGAUUUAUGAAUAUUAUAAAUCUACUGUGCAUAGUAUUCUAGUAGAAUCAUCUAUAAGUUCUAGUUAUUGAAAUUGUAUACUUUGCCCGGUUUGAGUUAAGGGCACAUGUAAUAUGAAAGAUAGUUGUCGCAUCUUUUAGGUUACCUAACAUUUGAUCAAUCCUAUUAUGGGGGCUUCAAGAUGUCUAACAAUAUGUAGAAUGCCCAUGCUCCUCCCCAUUGUUUAUCUUCUACAAUAAUUUGUUUUAGAUGCUAAUAUCUUUGUCGAUACCGGUAACAAUAUUACAAUAUCUGCGUUUAUUGGGUUUUACAUAGGUUCGACUGUUUGACAGUACACACUAUCUGAAGGCAUUUGCAAUUGGAGAUGUAUGGGUUGCUGUUGGGUGGAUUAGUGAUGUUCUUCCUGCUGUCAAACAUAUGUCUAAUGUUGCUGUUGUUGUUCCCAAGUCUGGUGCUAGCUGCCUGCCAUUCUACUUCGAUAUUCACAUUGUUAUCUCCUUCAUAUUAGCGAUCAGUAAACACGAUAAUGUGACUAAUAAGUUCGUAUUCUCUUUAUAGGCAAUCCCUGCUGCCUCAAGACUUGAAACAAAACAAAUUGGAGGGCGAGUCGGAGGUCCAUCUCCGUUAAUCCAUCAAUGGAUAGAAUUCUGCUUGCAAACAGCGAGAGCAUUACCUUUCAAGCAAGAGGUAAUCCCAGGUGCAUCUCCCUCUGCCCUUGAAAGUACUCUGGUUAAGUUGCCUGAAGAACUUCUGGAGGGUAAACCAAGUCUGGAUACUAACUUAAUUGCUGGAGUACUCCCGGCUGAAAUUCUGGCCAGAUGUGAGUUUUUGGAGCCAUUAUCUGAAGCUACUUUGUCAGAUUAUGAGUGGCUGGUUGUUAAUCUGCAAAAACCUGCUCCUGUCUUGAUGAAAAGGGUGCAACAUUACUUGUCAUCAUUAAUCCAAAGCUUUCUAGCAAGAGCUACAUUGAAAAGUUAAUGGCGCUGCAUGCCAGUCAUUAUAAUGCUGUCAGGACAAUUGGGUCAGGGCAAUUAGGUCAGAGCAUAACUUCAUUAGGAAAGGGGGCUUCAGCUACGUUAAAUAUUACAGGAUGUACUGAGAUGGCUGAAGUUCUUGAGGUUUUAUGAGAAACGAAAGAUGAGUGUUUGUUUGAACAAAGUUGUUGCCAAUCUUGCAGAGUUUGAAAACAAAGAUCACGGAGCGAAUGCCACCGAUUUCUUCAUCAUUUUAGCCUCCAUAAUUGAAGUUUCCUCAUUUGAAGCUGUUUAUGCAUACGAUUUUUCCCUGCUCUAGUACAGGAAAUUGAAGAAUUAACCAGAUGUGAUAUGCUGAAAGAGGGAAGUUUUCUUCCUUGAAUGUGGCCUUUGUGAUUUGUCUUGAAGGAAUAGGAUGAUCACUGGCAAGAACCCUAUCAAGGUAGAUUUUAUGGUGUUAACAUAUUAUUCAGCAUUUUGUUACAUUAGCAAUGAUGCUUUCAUAGCAUGAAAGUGUUUAAAUUUAACUGAAUGAUCUUGAUUGAUCAAUUAUGAGUUUUAAUCGAGUAAAAACUAAAUACAAUAAUCGUAACAAANNNNNNNNNNNNNNNNNNNNNNNNNNNNNNNNNNNNNNNNNNNNNNNNNNNNNNNNNNNNNNNNNNNNNNNNNNNNNNNNNNNNNNNNNNNNNNNNNNNNUGCUACCUUUUGAUUUUAGUGCUUAAUAUUUAUUGAACUAUGAUGCAGGGAAUUUGAAAUCAAACUCGUAAUACAGAUUAUCUAAUUGCGAGUUGCUGUCCAUAGCUGCUAAUUUGUAGUGAUUAUCUAAUUGACUGAGGUGACAAUAAUUCUUUUAUUUUCAAUAGCACAAUGUGGAAUUCAAUAAUUAAAUUCUCCUGUUUAAUUUGUUUCAAGUUAAAUUAUUAAUUACUUAAACUCGGUUUUAAGUCUUUAAUUUUAUGUGUUUAUGCAGAAUUGGAUUCUUGAGCGUGUUGGACACGACCAACAAUGAAAUUGACAGUAAACAAACAUUAGAACAUGUGGACUCCGGUAAGCACCAAUGAAUUUCUAGCCCCGUUGACUCCGCCAACUAAAGUUUUGUAAAAUAAAAAAAAAUACAUAGAAUUCCACCAAAUGCAAAACGCGUAAAAUUUAAUUUUCGGCCGUGUGGACCAAAACAUAAUUUAACAAAAAAGAAAAAAAUGAUAAGAUUUUUAAAAUGUGUGGAAGGUGAUCCAUAUUUUACUGAAACGACUUGUUAAAUUUUUCAAGGAUUUAGAAUAUUUGGUCAUAAAUUACGUGCAUGUUAAUUUUUCCGCCAUUGACUAUCAUAUUCUAGACUUAAUGGUACCUUUUUUGAUGAAGGGUACUUAGUCUCUCUUCUCCUCUUAUAAAAAUUAUAUUAAUUGAUUUCUUGUUAUAGUUAAUAGUCUUCAAGAACGGAUAGAUUUAUUGUUUUCAUGACCAAAUUAUGCAUGCCUAACGUUGCAACUAUUAAUAAAAUUAAUAUUUAAUAUUUAUGUUAAAAGAUAUAAGAUUUUAUGCAUUCAUUAAUUGUUAUUAGCUAAAGGAUGAAUUAUUUUUUCCCAAUCAGUUGAUGCAUCUGCAAGAGUUUUUUUUUCUUUUAUUGACCAUAAUUAUAUUCCGGGUACAAUAAAUUGUCUUUGGUGCUUGGAAGAUAUGACAUCUCUCUGUCAACUUACUGGAAAUAUCUCCUCAUCUACUCUCAUUUAUCUAAUAUCAAUUGAAGAUCUCAUAUUUCCAAACUAUGACUUCCAAAUCUCAUUAUCAUUUGAGCAUUCAAAACUAAUCAAGUGUGGAAAUAAUCAAAUAUAUGCAAAAAUCGAGUCACAAUCUUUGGCCCCUCAAAAUUCUAAUUAUAUAACUUCUAUAUAUCUCAUACAUUUUCCAAAUUCCUCUUCCAUCAACAUCAUUAGGAGUAUGUUCAUCUCUCACACAUUAACUUGAGUGGAGAGUUUCCAAAUUGAUUGUCAGAAAACAACAAAAGAACUAGACACGCUUGAUCUGUCUAAUAAUUCUCUUUCGGUAAAAUUAAUUAAUUUUAGGGGAAUUCAGCCAACCUCUGUAAUUUUAUAGUGAUCAUUAAUUAAUUAAACAAUACAAAUAUCUAAAGUGAUUAGAUGUUUACUGACAAUACAAGUUCAUGGCUUGAAAUUUGAUCUCUAUCGAUUGGUUUUGUAGUGCUUAAUAUUUACAGAACUCCGGGAAUUUGAAAUCAAACUCGUAACUACAGAUUAUCUAAUUGUAAGUUUUUGUCCAUAGCUGCUGAUUUGUAGUGAUUAUCUAAUUGACUGAGGUGACAACAAUUGUUCUUUUAAUUUUCAAUAGCAUAAUGUGGAAUUCAAUAAUUAAAUUCUCCUUUUUAAUUUGUUUCCAAUUAAAUUAUUAAUUACUUAAACUCUAUUUUAAGUCUUUAAUUUUAUGUGUUUAUGCAGAAUUGGAUUCUUGAGCGUGUUGGACACGACCAACAAUGAAAUUGACAGUAAACAAACAUUACAACGCGUUGAGUGUCGACUCCGGUAGCUGCCCUACAAGUCUACAACUUUACAAAAAAUAAUUGAGUACACACAUUCGAUUCUCGGGACCCUUCAAUGAAUUUCUAACCCCGUUGACUCCACCGACAAAAGUUUUGGAAAAUAAAAAAAAAAUUUAUAGAAUUCCACCAAAUGCAAAACGCGUGGAAUUUAAUUUUCGGCCGUGUGGACCAAAACAUAAUUUAAUGAAAAAAAAGAAGAUAAAAUUUCUAAAAUGUGUGGAAAUUGAUCCAUAUUUUACUGAAACAACUUGUUAAAUUUUUCAAGGAUUUAGAAUAUUUGGUCAUAAAUUAUGCUCAUGUUAAUUUUUCCGCUAUUGACUAUCAUAUUCUAGACACAAUGGUACCUUUCUUGAUGAAGGGUACUUAGUCUCUCUUCUCCUCUUAUAAAAAUUAUAUUAAUUGAUUUCUUAUUAUAAUAAAUAGUCUUUAAGAACGUAUAGAUUUAUUGUUUUCGUGACCAAAUUAUGCCUGCCUAAGGUUGUGACUAUUAAUAAAAUUAAUAUUUAAUGUUUAUGUUAAAAGAUAUAAGAUUUUAUGCAUUCAUUAAUUGUUAUUAGCUAAAGGAUUAAUUAUUUUUUCAACCCAAUCUGUUGAUGCAUCUGCAAGAGUUUUUUCUUUUAUUGACCAUAAUUAUAUUCCGGGUACAAUAAAUUGUCUUUGGUGCUUGGAAAAUAUGACUUCUUACUUCAAGUUUGAUAUGUCUCUCUCCAUAAGCUUACUGGAAAUAUAUCCUCAUUUACUGUCAUUUAUCUAAUAUCAAUUGAAGAGCUCACUUUUUCAAACUAUCACUUCCAAGUCUCAUUGUCACUUGCCAUUCUUGGACCAUUCAAAACCAAACAAGUGUUGNNNNNNNNNNNNNNNNNNNNNNNNNNNNNNNNNNNNNNNNNNNNNNNNNNNNNNNNNNNNNNNNNNNNNNNNNNNNNNNNNNNNNNNNNNNNNNNNNNNNNNNNNNNNNNNNNNNNNNNNNNNNNNNNNNNNNNNNNNNNNNNNNNNNNNNNNNNNNNNNNNNNNNNNNNNNNNNNNNNNNNNNNNNNNNNNNNNNNNNNNNNNNNNNNNNNNNNNNNNNNNNNNNNNNNNNNNNNNNNNNNNNNNNNNNNNNNNNNNNNNNNNNNNNNNNNNNNNNNNNNNNNNNNNNNNNNNNNNNNNNNNNNNNNNNNNNNNNNNNNNNNNNNNNNNNNNNNNNNNNNNNNNNNNNNNNNNNNNNNNNNNNNNNNNNNNNNNNNNNNNNNNNNNNNNNNNNNNNNNNNNNNNNNNNNNNNNNNNNNNNNNNNNNNNNNNNNNNNNNNNNNNNNNNNNNNNNNNNNNNNNNNNNNNNNNNNNNNNNNNNNNNNNNNNNNNNNNNNNNNNNNNNNNNNNNNNNNNNNNNNNNNNNNNNNNNNNNNNNNNNNNNNNNNNNNNNNNNNNNNNNNNNNNNNNNNNNNNNNNNNNNNNNNNNNNNNNNNNNNNNNNNNNNNNNNNNNNNNNNNNNNNNNNNNNNNNNNNNNNNNNNNNNNNNNNNNNNNNNNNNNNNNNNNNNNNNNNNNNNNNNNNNNNNNNNNNNNNNNNNNNNNNNNNNNNNNNNNNNNNNNNNNNNNNNNNNNNNNNNNNNNNNNNNNNNNNNNNNNNNNNNNNNNNNNNNNNNNNNNNNNNNNNNNNNNNNNGUAUUUUACUUGGAAGAUAUGACAUCUCUCUGUCAACUUACUGGAAAUAUCUCCUCAUCUACUCUCUUUUAUCUAAUAUCAAUUGAAGAUCUCAUAUUUCCAAACUAUGACUUCCAAAUCUCUCAUUAUCAUUGAGCAUUCAAAACUAAUCAAGUGUGGAAAUAAUCAAAUAUAUGCAAAAAUCGAGUCACAAUCUUUGGCCCCUCAAAAUUCUAAUUAUAUAACUUCUAUAUAUCUCAUACAUUUUCCAAAUUCCUCUUCCAUCAACAUCAUUAGGAGUAUGUUCAUCUCUCACACAUUAACUUGAGUGGAGAGUUUCCAAAUUGAUUGUCAGAAAACAACAAAAGAACUAGACACGCUUGAUCUGUCUAAUAAUUCUCUUUCGGUAAAAUUAAUUAAUUUUAGGGGAAUUCAGCCAACCUCUGUAAUUUUAUAGUGAUCAUUAAUUAAUUAAACAAUACAAAUAUCUAAAGUGAUUAGAUGUUUACUGACAAUACAAGUUCAUGGCUUGAAAUUUGAUCUCUAUCGAUUGGUUUUGUAGUGCUUAAUAUUUACAGAACUCCGGGAAUUUGAAAUCAAACUCGUAACUACAGAUUAUCUAAUUGUAAGUUUUUGUCCAUAGCUGCUGAUUUGUAGUGAUUAUCUAAUUGACUGAGGUGACAACAAUUGUUCUUUUAAUUUUCAAUAGCAUAAUGUGGAAUUCAAUAAUUAAAUUCUCCUUUUUAAUUUGUUUCCAAUUAAAUUAUUAAUUACUUAAACUCUAUUUUAAGUCUUUAAUUUUAUGUGUUUAUGCAGAAUUGGAUUCUUGAGCGUGUUGGACACGACCAACAAUGAAAUUGACAGUAAACAAACAUUACAACGCGUUGAGUGUCGACUCCGGUAGCUGCCCUACAAGUCUACAACUUUACAAAAAAUAAUUGAGUACACACAUUCGAUUCUCGGGACCCUUCAAUGAAUUUCUAGCCCCGUUGACUCCACUGACAAAAGUUUUGGAAAAUAAAAAAAAAAUUCAUAGAAUUCCACCAAAUGCAAAACGCAUGGAAUUUAAUUUUCGGCCGUGUGGACCAAAACAUAAUUUAAUGAAAAAAAAAAGAUAAAUUUUCUAAAAUGUGUGGAAGGUGAUCCAUAUUUUAUUGAAACAACUUGUUAAAUUUUUUAAGGAUUUAGAAUAUUUGGUCAUAAAUUACGCUCAUGUUAAUUUUUCCGCUAUUGACUAUCAUAUUCUAGACUCACUGGUACCUUUCUUGAUGAAGGGUACUUAGUCUCUCUUCUACUCUUAUAAAAAUUAUAUUAAUUGAUUUCUUAUUAUAAUAAAUUGUCUUUAAGAACGUAUAGAUUUAUUGUUUUCGUGACCAAAUUAUGCUAGAUUAAGGUUGCGACUAUUAAUAAAAUUAAUAUUUAAUGUUUAUGUUAAAAGAUAUAAGAUUUUAUGCAUUCAUUAAUUGUUAUUAGCUAAAGGAUUAAUUAUUUUUUCAACCCAAUCAGUUGAUGCAUCUGCAAGAAUGUUUUCUUUUAUUGACCAUAAUUAUAUUCCGGGUACAAUAAAUUAUCUUUGGUGCUUGGAAAAUAUGACUUCUUACUUCAAGUUUGAUAUGUCUCUCUCCAUAAACUUACUGGAAAUAUAUCCUCAUCUAUUAUCAUUUAUCUAAUAUCAAUUGGAAGAUCGCACUUUUUCAAACUAUCACUUCCAAGUCUCAUUGUCACUUGGCCAUUCUUGGACCAUUCAGAACCAAUCAAGUGUUGAAAUAAGUCGAGAGGGGGGGCAAAAUUAGAGUCACAAUUUUUGGUCCCCCAAAUUCUAAUUAUAUAACUUCUAUAUAUUUCAUUGCCAGGUCACGAACUUGUUGGCACAUUUUCCAAAUUCCUCUUCCAUCAACUCUCACACGUUAACUUAAGUGGAAAGUUUCCAAGUUGAUUGCUAGAAAGCAACGCAAAAUCAGACACGCUUGACCUGUCCCCUAAUUCUCUUUUCUACGUUGAAAAAGAAAAAAAAAAUAUAUAUAUAUAUCUAUGUAAAAAUAAAUAAUAAACUGAAUAAAAGUACAUUUGUUUAAUUAACAUCUGAUCGUGGCAUUUUUGGUGUAAUUUCGUGCUGUGUAAGCCACAACUAAAAUCAAACAGCCCCUUAGCAUACUUCUUCCAUUUUAUCUGGUACUUUUGUGGAUCUUAUAGGGUGGGCAUGUGGACAGAAUUUAAAAGUUUUAAUAGUCUCAAAGAAUAAGAUAUGUUAAAGCUAAAGUUGUUGCACCUUCUAAUUAAAUAAAGUUGUACAAUUUCACCAACUUGGAAGAAUUGACAUUAAUGGACUGGUCCCUUCUCCAUAUAUGAAGCCUUCUUAAAAGUUAAUUUUUAUUUCAGAAAAAAAAAGUUAAAGUUACAUAUAUUAUAGUAAGAUUUUUUGAGACCAAUUCCCUUCUUGAAAUAAUAAUGGAAAAGUAUUAAUUUAAUAAUAAAAUGAAUAUGUAUUGAUUAUAUCUUGAUUUUCAUCGAUUAUAGUGAGAGUUUCUCCAAAUCAAUUCCCUUAUUCAAAUAAUAUCGAAAAAAUAGUAAUUUAAUAGUAAAAUAAACAGGUGUUGAUUAUAUAUUCUAAGUUUCAUCGAUUAUGUGAUCAAAGUGGCAUUGUUGAUUUAUUUCUUGUUCAAUGUUAAUUUUUAGGUUAUCUAAAUUUCAAGGAUUUAAAAUCUUUGAUCAUGGAUUACACGCUUGUUAAUUUUUCUGCCAUUGACUAUCAUAUUCUAGACUUAAUGAUACCUUUCUUGAUCAAGGGUAAUUACUCUCUCUUCUCCUCUUAUAAAUUCCUCUUCCAUUAACAUCACUAGGAGUAUGUUGAUCUCUUACAAAACAACAAAAGAACUAGACACACUUGAUCUGUCUAAUAAUUCUCUUUCGGUAAAAUUAAUUAAUUUUAGGGGAAUAUUCGACCAACCUCUGUAAUUUUAGAGUGAUCAUUAAUUAAUUAAACGAUACAAAUAUCUAAAGUGAUUAGAUGUUUGCUGACAAUGCAAGUUCAUGACUUGAAAUUUGAUCUCUAUCGAUUGGUUUACAAAUGGACAUACUUGUGCCUUUGUGGCGAUAAUCGAACAAGUUCCAAUGAUUAUUAUUUUUUCCAAAAACUUUUUUACAACAAAUUCAUCUCGCCAAAAAUUCUAUGUUGCUAGCUAACAAUAAUUGAGCACUUGGCCGCAUUGACUCCACGUCUCCACCUCUUUCUAAAUUCUAAGUAAAAACAUGGAAAUGUAAUUUCCACAAAAUGCCAAACGUGUGGAAUUUAAUUUUUUGCCUUGUGGAUCAAAAUACAAAUGAAAGAAACAGGAAAAAAAAAAAAGGCCCAAAGACUUCUAAAAGAUGAAGAAGUCUUUGGGCCUUUUUAUAAUGGUGGAUUUUUUAAAAGAAAAAAAUAACAACACUUUUAUGGUUGGUUUUGAUAAUCAUAUGUGCGUAUAUACUCUCUAAUUUUCAAAAUGGACACAUAAAUCUUUUUUUUUCACAAAAUAUAUAUUAUUCAUAUUUUUUAUUUUUUAUUAUCAUAUUUUUAUUUAUUAUAAAUGUUUAGAGUAAAUUUUUAGGUUGAAAUAUAAUAAAAGGGUAUAAUCGUUCUCUUAUUAAACACACAUACUUUUAUUAGUUUCUAUGCAUUUGUCAUCUCAAUCUCUCUCAAUUAUUCUUUAUUGCUAGCUCAAAACACGUUGCUGUUGCAAAUUAUAGCAAAAUGACAAAUAUGGAAAAAAAGGGAAGAAAAUUAAUGCAUGAAAGACUUGGAGAAAACAACAAAAUAAGCCAACUAUGAGCUAGUUGGGUGUAUAAAUUGUUAGAUGUGUUAUAUACAAAUAGCAUAGAGCCCUCUAGUUGGUUCUAGAGACAGAAAGAGCGUGUGUGUUUUUUCACAGUUAGAGAUAUAGUUAGAAUGGGUGGCUCAAAAUCAAAAAUGAUGAUAAUGUUUAUUAUGUUAUUAAUAAUAUUUAAAAGUGGGUGGAGUGAGGGAUGUUUGGAUCACGAGAGAUUUGCUCUUUUGCGACUCAAACAUUUCUUCACUGGUCCUUGUAAUUAUCUUUACGACUGGGUAGAUGGUGAGGGAGCUACUGAUUGUUGUCAGUGGGAAAGGGUUGAGUGCAGCAACACCACAGGCCGAGUGAUAACGCUAGACCUUUUUGACACGUAUGGGGGAGAGCACAACUGGUAUCUGAAUGCUUCUUUGUUUACUCCCUUCCAACAACUUGAGUCACUUGAUUUAACUUACAACAAAAUAACCGGUUGUGUUGAGAAUGAAGGUGCUUCGUUUAAUUUAAUUAAUUUACUUUCUCCCCCCUAAUUUAAGUUGAAUAUCAAGACCGAGCAAUUAUAUGCAUAUUCAUUCAGUUGACAAUUUUGACUUUUUUUUUAAAGAUUAAUUUUGAAAUUACACUAGUAUCUAUGAUCCUUUUUUUUUUUAUUUUACUUGCAGGUAUAGAGAGGCUAUCAAGAUUGAACAACUUGAAGAUGCUUAAUUUAAGUGAUAACUCGUUCAACAAUAGCAUUUUAUCAUCACUAACUCAUCUUUCAUCAUUAAGAUCAUUAAAUUUAUAUGGGAAUAGAUUAGAAGGAAGUAUUGACGUUAAAGGUACAUAAUUAAAACUUCAUCCCUUCUCCAAGCUCUUUCAUUAACUUGCUAAAAUAAGAUUCAAGGCUUUGAAUUCAAUUUUUUUUAUGAUUAGUAUUAAAAAAAAACAGUUUUAAGCAAUUUAUAAAUACAAGUUUUAAUCUUUCUCAUAAUUUCAUCUUGUACUUUCAUGUGUCUUGAAUUUAAGAUUAAAAAGAAAUCUAAUAGCAAACCAAACACCUCCACAACUUAUUAUUAUUAUUAUUAUUAUUUGCGGUGAGGUUUGAAACAUUCAACUCAAUUUGUACUUAUUACAGAAUUUGAUUCUUUGAGAGAUUUAGAGGAGCUAGACAUUGGCGAGAACAAGAUUGACAAAUUUGUGGUCUCAAAAGGUACUACAAAUACCAUAAAAAAAAAUGCUAACUUAUACAAAUUAGUUGGAUUCUUGGCCAUUUGGUUUAUUAUUUUACAGGUUUGAGUAAGUUGAAGUCUCUCUGUUUAAGUGGUAUCAAACUCAAUCGUAGCAUCUUCGCUUCUCUUUCUUCGUUAAGAGAAUUAGAUAUAAGUUAUACGGGAUUCAAAGGAACAUUUGAUGUUCGAGGU
RNAcentral lists this long non-coding RNA (45799 nucleotides) under Citrus x clementina. RNAcentral's name for it is "Citrus clementina (C. clementina) long non-coding RNA (CCLE_LNC002857)". Lineage: Eukaryota; Viridiplantae; Streptophyta; Magnoliopsida; Sapindales; Rutaceae. The record is from RNAcentral.